RNAcentral lists this long non-coding RNA (87736 nucleotides) under Hordeum vulgare. RNAcentral's name for it is "long non-coding RNA (HVUL_LNC015236)". The record is from RNAcentral. Lineage: Eukaryota; Viridiplantae; Streptophyta; Magnoliopsida; Poales; Poaceae.
GGUAUCCAGGCCGCCAUCGCCGAGCUGCCGUCGCUGAGCCCGUCCCCCGAGGUCGACAGGCUCUUCACCGACCUCGUCACGGCCUGCGUCCCGCCGAGCCCCGUCGACGUGACGAAGCUCAGCCCGGAGCACCAGAGGAUGCGGGAGGCUCUCAUCCGCUUGUGCUCCGCCGCCGAGGGGAAGCUCGAGGCGCACUACGCCGACCUGCUCGCCACCUUCGACAACCCGCUCGACCACCUCGGCCUCUUCCCGUACUACAGCAACUACGUCAACCUCAGCAGGCUGGAGUACGAGCUCCUGGCGCGCCACGUGCCGGGCAUCGCGCCGGCGCGCGUCGCCUUCGUCGGCUCCGGCCCGCUGCCGUUCAGCUCGCUCGUCCUCGCCGCGCACCACCUGCCCGAGACCCAGUUCGACAACUACGACCUGUGCGGCGCGGCCAACGAGCGCGCCAGGAAGCUGUUCGGCGCGAGCGCGGACGGCGUCGGCGCGCGUAUGUCGUUCCACACGGCGGACGUCGCCGACCUCACCCAGGAGCUCGGCGCCUACGACGUGGUCUUCCUCGCCGCGCUCGUCGGCAUGGCAGCCGAGGAGAAGGCCAAGGUGAUUGCCCACCUGGGCGCGCACAUGGUGGAGGGGGCGUCCCUGGUCGUGCGGAGCGCGCACGGCGCCCGCGGCUUUCUUUACCCCAUUGUCGACCCGGAGGACAUCAGGCGGGGUGGGUUCGAGGUGCUGGCCGUGCACCACCCGGAAGGUGAGGUGAUCAACUCUGUCAUCGUCGCCCGUAAGGCCGUCGAAGCGCAGCUCAGUGGGCCGCAGAACGGAGACGCGCACGCACGGGGCGCGGUGCCGUUGGUCAGCCCGCCAUGCAACUUCUCCACCAAGAUGGAGGCGAGCGCGCUUGAGAAGAGCGAGGAGCUGACCGCCAAAGAGCUGGCCUUUUGAUUGAAGAGUGCGCGUGGUCAUUCUGUCGCCUGCGAUCGUGGUAACUUUCCUACUCGUGUGUGUUUUGAUGUUUGUGCCUGUAAGAGUUAUGCUUCCGGCCUUGUGCUGUUAAUUUACACGCGUUACAUGUAGUACUUGUAUUUAUACCUGGAAUAACGGUAUGUAACAUAAAUAUUAGUGGGAUUUGAAGUGUAAUGCUAAAUAAUAAGAAAACUUGAUGCAGACAUUCAGAAAGUGUCCAAUCAUUAACUUCAUGAAAACCACAGUUUUGCUAUUUCUCAUUCCACCUACAAAUACUGCAUUCAUUUCGAAUUAUAAGAUAUUCGAAAUUAAAUAGGUAAUUUUUCGAGUAGAUUAAUCCACGAGAUAAUAACUAGCAUGGUAUUGACUAGACUAAUGAUAUAGUUAUCAUGAACUAAUCUAGCACAUACUGCACGUAUAGUCGAUACAUCUAUGCAUGCAAGUAGUACUGUUCUGAUUGAAACGAACAGGAGUGCGAUAAACGAGUUAUACCCUGCAAUAGGCCAGUUGGCCGUAGCAGCGGCGUUGGCGGCGGACGCAGUCGUAGCAGCAACAUCCUCUGUCGCCUUCUUCUCAGCUUCAAGGGCGAGACGAUCGGCCUCGAAUGGUUUAGUCAUGGCGAUGACGAGGACGACGUGGACGUAGACGAAGCAGACGGGCGGAGGCGAGCAGUCGUGUGAUCGCUCCCCAAAAACCUAAUCGUCCCUCUCCCGUACAGGAACCGGAGAGGCGGGGUCUCGAAGGUCUGCUCUCCCGUUGACCGUGUACGCGGUGAACGGGACGGACUCGCCGGCGGCAGCAGCAACAAAGGAACGAGCGCGUGUCGUGGGUAUAAGUCUGAUAGUAGAUGUGUAGGGUACGAAAGGAUGUGCAGAACCUUAGCUACGGCGAGGUUGUAUGAGUUCAGGCCCCCCUACGGUGGAGGUAAUAGCCCUACGUCUCAGUGCUCUGGGAGCUUGUUGUCGAGUGGAAUAUGGAUUACAGUGAAUUGCUAACCCCUGCACCAGUGGGGAAGGGUGGCUUAUAUAGAGUGCGCUGCCCUUCACAACGGUUCGGUGCACAGGGGUGGAGUAGUGGCGAAUAAAUGCCUACGUUACAGGUAACGUACGUCUUAAAUGCUAAUAAAGGCACAUGGAAACGUAUGACCGUUUCCCUCCACGGGGGGUUACGAUGCACAGAGUGGAAUCCAGUCGGUUAGUUUGAUACACUCCGAAUGCUCAUCUCCGACUGGGUGAUGGAGGAUUCGUCACCGACUGGAUGAUGGGAAGUCCUUAAUUCAGUCGGAACUGACUAAGGGCCUUAUCCCUUAUGAAGGUAGUCCUUGGGUAGGACUUAUAGGGCAGGCCUAUGACCCUACCCUAGGACUAUAACCCCAUCAUUAGUCCCCGAAUGGAUUGGGGUUGGAACGACGAAGCGAUGCUUGGAGUACGGAUCCGACUGGUACGGAUGCGACUUUGGCGUUGUUUGCCUCGAUCCAUUUUAUCUUCUUUGACCCAUGAUCCGAGUGGAUGUAUUUGUGAAACGAACCGUCAGGGACCGAGUGCUUCCGUGGUAUCUUUUGACGUGACCAGUCAAUUGACAGCGGCGGAUUUUCCGGGAUCCUCAAAUUUCGGUUGCCGCGCGCUCAGCGGGGAUGACGACAUCGCAAUCGAGUAGUACUUAACGCCUCGAUUCCCGCGCCUUCAUCUUCUCCACUAAUAUUGCAGCAACCGAUCGGGGGAUAAGAUUUCGGGGCCACUUGCUAGUGACCCAGUCGGAACCCUAUUUAAACUUCUGCGGCGAGGGUUUUUGUUACACUCGCCGGAUAACUUGCAUUUGCUCCGCUUCUCUCGCCAUCCCCUGCGCAUCCCGAGUUCCUUCCUUCUCCUUCUCCCUCGCGAAUCUGCAGCCUCCGCCAUGAAAAAGGGGCAGACUAACAAGCUAGAGGCGCGGAAGAAGAAGGGGAAGGCGGCGGCUCCUGCUCAGCGGCGGCAGCGAGCGCUACCGGCGGGUUGGAUCCAAGGGGAUUUCCUCCCCUCCACGGUGACGGAGGAGAACUUGCUGGAGUUGGUGGAGCACGGAAUGAUUGCGCACAAGUCGUGGAGGUUGCCGGCGGAGGGCGAGACCGAGCCGGCGCCCGGGAGGGGGAGCGCGUCUUGCUGCUCAGCCACGUGCACCGAGGUUUCUCUCUGCCUCCUCAUCCCUUCUUCAAAGGUAUAAUGAACGACUUCGGGGCGCAGCUCCACCAUUUUCCCCCAAACGCCAUAGCUUAUCUCUCUGCCUUCGUCGUGUUGUGCGAGUGUUUCAUCGGCUGUCCUCCCCAUUGGGGGCUUUUCAAACACAUCUUCUCUGCUAGAUCCCAAACCAUCAAACGACUUAACCAGUCGGAUGAUAAAACUCACCUCCUCCAGCUCUGUGGAGGCUUAGGCUUCCAAAAGAAGAGUAAAAGUAGCUAUCCUGCUCUUCAGUUGAGUGAAUCUGUUAGGAACUGGCAGUCGACAUGGUUCUACUGCCAGGACGUUGCUUGCCCGAAUGCCACAACAGGACUGCCUCCUUUUAGCUUAGACCGACCGGCUCCGCCUAAGCAGCUCGCGCUCACGAAGGCGGAGAAGAUCUAUAUCCAGCCUCUGGUCGAUGCGCUUGUAGAUGUCGUCCGAAGGGGAGUCACCGACAUAGAUUUGCUGGAGGUUUUCCUGGGUCGGCGUAUCCAGCCGCUGCAAGCUCGAUACCACGCCAUGUGGCACUACACGGGGCCUGAGGACUCCACUCGGACUAACGUCGAGUGCGUGACCGGGGAGACGGUAGCGUCGUGGGUCCUCAACAUCACAGGCGCCUGCGAAAACCCCAGAGGGGCCCGGCGAGUGAAGGCCUUCCGCGCGGACAACCCUCCUCUGAAUGAGGUGAGUACAACUUGUCGAGUGCACACAAUUGUCUUAGAUUUAUCGCUUUCUUGAAUCACUGUCUCACGUCUGAUGUUGUCGACUGUAUCUUGUGCAGGCGUGGACUAACUGGUUUUCUCCUGUCUCGAACGGGAAUCCGGCCGAGGAGGAGGAAGACAGCCAGGAGGGCAGCGUGGAGAGCGUCGAGUACGUCUCCGACAGUGGGGAGACGGAGGAGGAGUCCGCAGAAGAAGAAGAGGCAGAUGAGGAGCAGAACUCGCCACCUCCACCGCCAGAGCCUCGGACUAAGCGUCGUCAUGAACCUGUGGCUCCUUCGGCUCCUCCAGCAUCCUCGAGUGCGCCGCCAGCUCCGCCAGCUGCUCCUGUGGUACCGAGUGCCUCGCCAGCCGUUCCCGUGGCUCCGAGUGCUCGGAGCACAAAGAGGACCAGGGACUCUGCCGCUGAGCCUGCGGGUCAGCCCUCUAAGGUGGCUAAACCGAGUGGAUCUAAGCCUCGGAAGGCUUUGCCGCGGAUGAGGGUCAUAGUUCCCGUCACCUCAACGUAAGUGCAUGGUUCUUCUAUCUUCUUUCAGUAUUUGAUUGAACUCCUGCUUAUUGGUCGAAUGAAUUUUACUCGACAGAGUUGCCACCUCUGCCACCUCUCCGGCACGCCAGGGGGACAAUCCCAUGGACAUGGACAACGUUGUCACAUCCCAGCCAGGUGCGUCGUGGUGAUUCCGAGAGUUUACAUUAUUGCAUCACGAAUUCUGUCUUUGGUCUUGCGUUUUUCCUGUGGUCUCACGCCGUUCGGUCGGGUUUCCCUCACGGGUGAUUUAUGUGGAGGAGGGCAACCAGAGGAGGUCCAAGCAAGCUGCGGUGCCUGUCCUUGAGGCUGUUCUGCCGGUUACUACUCUCGCCAUGGACGCGCCGCCGACUGAGGCGAUGCCGUCGACUGAAACGGCGCUGAUCGCUGCUGAACCGACUGGACCAGGCCUUGGGAUGCCCAAGGAGCCUCCUAUGAUGCCAGGCCCGUCAACUGUCGAGUACAACGUCCAGCGCCUCCCGGAGGAUCAGGUGCGAGCUGCCAAGGGGGCCAUGGUGCAGGCGGAGCUGAUGGCGGGAGAGGCCAAGAAAGCGUACGACUCCAUCACGUCCGUGUACAAGCGAAGCUUGGAACUGCGGGACGAUAUCUGAGUAAGUGGGCUAGUAAGCAUUUACUUUCCUCUUGUAACCCGCUGGGUGUUUGAUCAAUGCACUCGGAUAUUGUAAGAUUAUUUUGCAGUGGGUUCACUCUUAGUGACCCAGUGGGUGUAGUCCCCGAGACUUCUGUCGAGUGCUUGCACCGGCAGUUGUCUUUAUACACAUUUUCUUUAACUUGAUCAGAUCAAAAACUAAUUUGUUCGAAUGUUAGCAGUGGGGGCACUCCGAGUGCACCUACUGGAUGAGUCCCCGAGAGUAACUUUACUCAGGUCGGGUAGUAGUAACCUCAUAGGCUUGUUUGUUGUCAUGUAUCUCAAUAGGGCGGACCUGUUUGAGCUUCAUGCCAGUGGGGUCACUCUUAGUGAACCCAUUGGGUGUAGUCCCCGAGACCGCUGUCGACUGCUUGCGUCGGCAGGGGUCUGAAGAACUUAGAAUUUUUAUUGUUGUCCUUGUUGAAUUUGUCUGAUCGUCUCUUGGCGCUGACUUGCAGAAAACUUGCGAGAUGGGAGCAGCAUACGAGACUCUGAGGGCUGAAAAGGUUCAGUUUGCUGGGGAACUGGAUGCAGCAAUGGUUCCCUUGGCUGGUAUGAAGGAUGUUCUGGCUGAACGAGAAAAGUCCUUGGAGGAGGCCCGUGAGGCAAACAAGGCGUUGGCGGCUGAAGUGGAGAAAAUGGGGAAACAAAGGACCGAGCUGAUGGGACAAAUGCAAGUGUUGAACAAGCGGUGUAUAGCACAGGAAAAUUACGUCAGUGACUGGGCCCGGAAGAUGAUAGCUCUUCUCGGUGGUAAGUUCCGUUUUUUCGAGUGCUUGUGGACUGUGCAUUGCAUUCUGCGCUUACUGUUUGCUCGUCCUGUCUUUGCAGAUUUUUGCAUGGACGCAGAGGCUGAAGCAGCUGACGUUGAGCGGUCGAUUCUUGCGAACGUUCCACUCGGCGAGGACGCCAAUCGAGAUAUGCUCCGAGCGCACAUUCGCCUGGGCAAAGUGGGACCUUUCAUCGGUCGACUGAGAGAGGUCGUCGGCCGAAUCAACAAGGAGCUUUGGCCUGAAGAUGAGUCUCGGCACGAGAUGGAAGGCUUGAUGGCUCGGCUGGAGGAGGUCCCGAACCGACUGCAGGCGUGGAAGAAAUCUGCGGCUCGCUGUGGUGCGGACGUCGCUCUGUCGCUUGUCCGAGUGCACUGCAAGAUGGCUCGCGAAGAGAAGCUGAAGGCGUUGCAAGUCGCCAACACCAAAAAGCUUCGAUUCAAAGAUUUCAUGGAGACCUUCCUUGAGAGUGACACUCGCAUCGCAGACGGGAUCGACCUCGACACAUUCGUGGAGCCUGCCAGUCCCAGUGCCAGUCCUGACGAUGUUUAAGAAAACUUUUACCUCGGUAUGCCGAGUGUUGGUUGUAAGAAACUUUGGCCACUGUUGUUGGCCGUCACAUUUGUGGUUCGGUGUGGAUAAGCUUGAUCUACACCGAGCCAACUAUCCUUAGGCGAACUUUGAAUUUGAAUCGAAUCUUUUUCUCUUCUUUUGCCAAAGAGUUGUUGACACGAUUUCUGCUCGUGGUUUUUGUUUGGCGUUUCUUGGUGGAGCCAAUGGCAAACAUGCAGAGCAUGUAAUUGUCAGUUGUCUUGACAUCUGCAUGAGCCUCACUGAGGGUCUGCUGAGUCUCCGAGUGGAUAUGCAGGAUACACUCGAAGGCAAUUGAGUACUUAGGCGAUUUGUGAUCGCGGCUAAGUCUUCGAGUGCGACUGUAAGGUUGUACUCGGAGCGAGUUGUUACUCAUGUAAUUGUCAGUUGUCUUGACAUCUACAUGAGCCUCAAUGAGGUUCUGCUACUCAUGUAUUUGUCAGUUGUCUUGACAUCUACAUGAGGCUCAAUGAGGGUCUGCUAAGCCUCCGAGUGGAUCUGUGAGAUACACUCGAAGGAAGCUUUCUAUUUAAGCGAAUCUUGAUAGCACACAAGUCCCCGAGUGCGACGUUAAGUGCACACUCGAAGAAAGUGUGUAGUUAGGCGAUUCGUGAUCGCAGCUAAGUCCUCCAGUGCGACGGUUAGUGCACACUCGGAGAAAAUUUGUACUUAGGCGAUUCUUGAUCGCAGCUAAGUCCCCGAGUGCGACGUUUAGUGCACAGUCGGAGAAAGUUGGUACUUAGGCGAUUCUUGAUCGCAGCUAAGUCUCCGAGUGCGAUGUUUAGUGCACACUCGGAGAAAGUUAAUACUUAGGCGAUUCUGGAUCGCAACUAAGUCCCCGAGUGCGAUGUUUAGUGCACACUCGGAGAAAGUUAAUACUUAGGCGAUUCUGGAUCGCAGCUAAGUCCCCGAGUGGGACGUUGAGUGCACACUCGGAGAAAGUUAGUACUUAGGCGAUUCUUGAUCGGAGCUAAGUUUAUUUUUUAAGACCAGAGUGUGCGACGACGGAAGAAUUUUGAAUCUGCAAAAACUCAAUCUGCUUUGUAUUACUUCAACGAUACUUGUUCUUUACAUUGCUUCAGUCGACGGUCACGUGUAGAAGCGCUUCAAGAGAUCUCCGUUCCAUGCUCGCGGCUCGUCCGUUUCCCUGUCGAUGUUGUAGAGUCGGUAUGCACCGUUGUUCAGCACCUUGGAGAUGAUGAAGGGUCCUUCCCAGGCGGGAGCCAACUUGUGAGGUCUCUGUUGAUCCACUCGGAGCACCAGGUCGCCUGCUUGGAAUGUGCCACUCCUGACGUGUCGCGCGUGAAAGCGCCGCAGAUCUUGUUGAUAAAUGGUUGAGCGAGUGAGUGCCAUCUCGCGCUCUUCCUCUAGAAGAUCCACUCCGUCUUGCCUUGCUUGUUCUGCUUCAGCUUCGGAGAAGAGUUCAAGUCGUGGAGCGUUGUGAAGCAAGUCACUUGGAAGGACUGCCUCUGCUCCGUAAACAAGGAAGAACGGGGAUCACCCUGUAGAUCUAUUUGGGGUUGUGAGGAGACCCCAAAUCACCGAAGGUAGCUCGGUGACCCAUGCACCAGCGGCAUGUCCCACCUCCCGAAGGAGUCGAGGCUUCAAACCUUGCAGAAUAAGUCCAUUUGCCCGCUCUGCUUGCCCGUUUGUUUGGGGAUGCGCCACAGAUGCAAAAUCCACUCGGAUACCUUGGGCUGUACAAAAACCUUUGAAUCUGUCCGAGUCAAAGUUUGUUCCAUUGUCAGUGAUUAUGCUGUGAGGUACCCCGAAUCUGGAGAUGAUGUCCCUGGCAAACUUGAUGGCUGUUAGGGCGUCGAGCUUCUUGAUGGGCUUGGCUUUGAUCCACUUUGUGAACUUGUCGACUGCCACCAACAGAUGUGUGAAUCCCCCUUGGCCUGUCCUGAAUGGACCGACUGUAUCUAAUCCCCAUACCACAAACGGCCAAACAAGAGGGAUUGUCUUCAACGCAGAUGUUGGCUUGUGGGACUUGUUAGAGUAGAACUGACAGCCUUCACAUCGGUCGACCAUAUCUUUCGCCAUUUCAUUUGCCUGCAGCCAGAAGAAGCCAGCUCUGAAUGCUUUGGCGAAGAUUGCUCUUGAAGAGGCGUGAUGACCGCAGGUUCCCGAGUGAAUUUCCUCUAGGAUUAACUGUCCCUCCUGUGGGGAGAUGCAUCGUUGAAGGACGCCUGAAACGCUUUCCUUGUACAACUGGCCAUCGAUGACAGUGAACGACUUUGACCUUAGGACGAUCUGUCUGGCUUGGACUUCGUCUUCUGGUAAUUCUUGCCUCAGGAUGUAUGCAAUGAUCGGCACAAUCCAAUCGGGGAUGACAACAAGAAUCUCCAUGAUCAAAUCAACCACAGCAGGUACGUCGACUUCAGUCGGAUCUGUCGAGCUCUUUGGUUGUACUGGUUCCUCCGUGAAAGGAUCUUCUUUAACUGAGGGAAGGUGGAGGUGCUCGAGGCAGACGUCACUCGGGACUGGUCUCCGAGUGGAUCCGAGUUUUGCCAACUCAUCAGCUGCCUGGUUCUUCAGUCGCGGAACAUGGUGGAGUUCUAGACCUUCAAACUUUUUCUCGAGCUUCCUCACUGCAUUGCAGUAUGUGGUCAUGGUGGGGUUCCUGACGUCCCACUCCUUCAUCACCUGAUUAACCACCAAAUCCGAAUCGCCAUAAACCAUCAGGCGACGGACGCCGAGUGCGAUGGCCAUGCGCAGUCCAUAAAGGAGAGCUUCAUACUCUGCAUCAUUGUUGGAGGAAUCAAAGUGUAUCUGCAACACAUACUUGAGUUUGUCACCUUUUGGCGACACGAUCACAACGCCAGCAUCGGAGCCAUUCAACAUCUUGGACCCAUCGAAGAACAUUGUCCAAUGAGCCGAGUAGAUGUGGGUCAGUUGCUGUUGUUCUACCCAUUCUGCUAUGAAGUCAGCCAGAGCUUGAGGCUUUAUAGCUUUCUUGGCCUCGAACUUGAUGUCGCAGUACAACAUCUCCAUUGCCCACUUCGCCACUCGGCCCCAUGCAUCCCGAUUGUGGAGGAUUUCCGACAACGGAGCAUCAGAAACGACGGACACCGAGUGGUCUUGGAAAUAAUGAGCCACCUUCUUCGCAGUCAUGUAAAUCCCGUAGAUAAGUUUUUGAUAGUGGGGAUACCUCUGCUUGGAAGGAGUCAGGACUUCGGAGACGUAAUACACUGGCCGCUGAACUUUGUAUGCUUUGCCUUCUUCUUCUCGUUCGACUGCGAGAACAGUGCUGACGACUUGAUUUGUAGCCGCGAUGUACAGAAGAAGGGGCUCUUUACUGAGCGGAGCAGUAAGAACCGGCUGGGUGGAAAGUAGGACUUUGAGGUCGUUGAAUGCGACUUGGGCUUCGUCUGAUCACUCGAAAGUAUCUGAUUUCUUCAUGAGUCGGUACAGAGGAAGCGCCUUCUCGUCGAGUCGACUGAUAAACCUGCUCAAAGCCGCUAGGCAACCUGUGAGCCUUUGAACAUCGUGUAUUCUGACCGGCCGCUACAUUCGGACGAUGGUCCCGAUAUUUUCGGGGUUGACGUCGAUCCCUCGUUCGGAAACGAAGAAAUCGAGUAACUUUCCGCUGGGAACGCCGAAUGAACACUUGGCUGGGUUGAGCUUGAUAUCGUACCUACGAAGGUUGGCGAAUGUUUCUGCCAAGUCAGUCAGCAGGUCGGAACCUUUGCGUGACUUGACUACGAUAUCAUCCAUAUACGCCUCCACAUUCCGACCGAUCUGGUCGAGGAGGCAUUUUUGGAUCAUGCGCAUAAAGGUUGCUCCUGCAUUCUUCAAACCAAAUGGCAUAGUGAUGUAGCAGAAGCACCCGAAUGGGGUGAUGAAGGCUGUUUUUAAUUCAUCGGGGCCAUACAGACGGAUCUGAUGAUAGCCCGAGUAGGCGUCAAGAAAUGACAAACGCUCGCAACCCGCAGUCGAAUCGACAAUUUGAUCGAUGCGGGGGAGCGGAAAAUGGUCUUUCGGGGAGACCUUAUUGACGUGCUUGAAGUCGAUGCACAUUCGGAGCGACUUGUCCUUCUUGGGCACCAUGACAACAUGGGGGAGCCACUCGGAGUGGUGUACCUCGCGAACGAAGUUGGCUGCCAAAAGCUUGGCCACCUCUUCUCCGAUUGCCUUCCUCUUGUGCGCAGCGGACCGACGCAGGCGUUCUCGGACAGGACGAGCGGCGGGAUCCACAUGCAGUCGGUGCUCAGCCAACUCCCUGGGUACACCUGGCAUGUCAGAGGGCUUCCAUGCGAAGAUGUCCCAGUUCUAACGGAAGAAUUGGAUGAGCUCGGCUUCCUAUUUAGGAUCAAGGGUAGUGGAGAUGUUCGUCGGGGCAGCGGUGUUGUCCGUCGGGUGGAUGCUGACCUUCUUCGUCUCUCCCGCCGACUGGAAUGUGGACUCCGAAGCUGGCUUCUUCGAACGCAUCAAGUCAGCGGGGUCGACUGUUUUCUUGUACUCGUCAAGCUCGAGGACAGCCAUCUGCUGAUCGGCGAUUCUUGAUCCCUGCUGCAGACACUCCUCGGCCCGUUGUCGAUUUCCUGUGAUAGUGAUCACACCUUUUGGGCCAGGCAUCUUCAGCUUCAGGUACACAUAACAUGGACGAGCCAUGAAACACGCAUACGCCGGGCGGCCCAGAAUUGCGUGGUACGCACUUUGGAAGUCCACCACCUCGAACAUCAUCUUUUCCUUGCGGAAGUUCUUGUCGGAGCCGAAGACGACGUCCAACGCGAUCUAGCCGAGUGACUUGGCCUUUCGUCCAGGGAUGACUCCAUGGAACUGCAUGCUGCUCUCGCUGAGUUUGGACAUCGGAAUGCCCAUCCCCUUGAGAGUGUCGGCGUACAUGAUGUUCAAACCACUGUCGCCGUCCAUGAGGACUUUGCGCAGUCGAACUCCUUCCACCACCGGGUCGACGACCAGAGCCUGCCUCCCUAGGGUGGGUACGUGUGCUGGAUGAUCCGAAUGGUCAAAGGUGAUCGUAGUCUGAGACCAUUUGAGGAACGUGGGGUUGGUCGGCGUGGCCAUGUUCACCUCCCUGUUCACCAGCUUCAGUCGACUCUUGCUCUCAACGUCAGCAAAAAUCAUCAGUGUUGCAUGGACUUGGGGGAACGGAUCCUCCUUGUCCUCCUCAUCCUGUUCAUUGCCCUUUUCACUCGGUUGCCCUUCGCCGAACCCCUGGAUCAGGAGGCGACAUUGCCGAGUGGUAUGCUUCGGAUAUAUGGCGUUGCCCUCUUCAUCUAUCUUCGUGUGAAUCGGACAUGGCUGAUCCAGGAUGGGGUUACUGAACUACUUCUUCUUGGGGGUGAACUGACCCUUCCCUUUGCCCUUGAACUUGGCAUUGGUAACAGCUGCGGCCUCUGCCCGCGGAGUGGACGGAGCUUUCUGUUUCUGCUUCCGAGUGUUAUUCCCAUCUCCAUCGGUGACUGCUUUGUGCUUGCCACUGCGGAUGCGGUCCUCUUCUUCGCCAUUCGCAUAGCGUGCCGCUAUCUCCAUCAUCUUACUCAUGGAGAUGUCGCCAGUUCGACCGAACUUCAAGUACAGAUCUCUGUACCGCACGCCUGCCUUGAAGGCGCAGACUGCUUGGUGCUCUGUGACGUUCUCCACCGUGUGGUAGAGGGUCGUCCAACGCUGAAUGAAAUAGCGCAGGGGCUCAUUCUGCUUCUGGACACAGUGCUGGAGCUCCACGAGGCCAGCAGGGCGUUUGCACAUCCCUUUGAAGGUCCCGAUGAAUACUCGGGCCAGAUCUGCCCAGCUGUAGAUGCUUGAGGGGGCCAAUUGGUUCAGCCACGGUCGCGCCGAGCCGUCGAGCAUCAGAGGGAGGUGCUUCAUGGCGACGUGGUCGUCCCCUCCUCCGAUCUGGACCGCCACUCAGUAGUCGUCCAGCCACGUUUCUGGCUUGGAUUCUCGUGUAAACUUGUUGAUCCCCGUCGCCAAUCGGAAGUUGGGAGGGAUGUCAGCCGACCGGAUGGCUCGACUGAAACACUCGGGACCAGAGACAAUGGUCCUCCUUCCACUCGGACGGUCCAUAUCGUGACCAUCGCGGUGGGCCCGGCCCCUGUCGACCCUCCGUUGAGCGAUAUGCCCUCUCGCGUCGGGCCUUCGAUCGUAAGUGUCACCGACUGAACGCCGAUCAUCAUGAUGUCGGGGCCCGUAGGGCCCACCCCGCGGAGCGGUGCGUGAACGGCGGCGAUCUUCGGGAUUUAUGGAACGGCUGCCUCCACGUUGCUCCGCCGAGUGUGCCGACUAGCAGAACGGCGGGGCUGACGGCGAGCGCCGGAUGUUUCACCGACCUCGUGCUCGUUCCGGCCAGUUUGGCGGGGACUUUCAUGGGAGUUGGCCAUGUGCACUUCAGCCGCAGGCCCGCGACCCAAGUACUCGGAAGGAAACUGAGUCGGAACUGAAUCCGAGCGCUGGGACGGCGGCGCAACCACAACCGACUCUAGGACCGCCACUUGCGAGGACGCGUUCUGGCACGUCUGGGCGUGUUGCACCCAACGCUGGAGCCGCGGACGGCGGGACCGCUUGUUGCGGCGCGUGACGGCGGUAUAGAUCGACACCGGAGCCGACUGCUGGAGAAGAAGAAUACCGCGGGCGCCGGCACGGAAGUGCGUAGCCCCACGACGGGAGAGCGCCUCGACGUCGAGAGGGGCGUCCCGAAGCCAUGCCGAAUCGUGGACGAUGAAGGAGAGAGCGCCGAAGAGGAUCUUUAUUAUCCAUGUUGGAAAUAUGCCCUNNNNNNNNNNNNNNNNNNNNNNNNNNNNNNNNNNNNNNNNNNNNNNNNNNNNNNNNNNNNNNNNNNNNNNNNNNNNNNNNNNNNNNNNNNNNNNNNNNNNUUGCAUGCCUGCAGGUCCAUUGAUCUCAAAAACCUAGACAAAAUCGAGCAGCCAUGGCCAAAAGGGUCAAUCCCCACCCACUCACCCAACCAGGAUCAGUUUAUUGAGGCAUGGUUGCAGCAAUUGCACUGUAAGGCUCCAAAUGGUCUGUGAAGGUAGUGAAUACCCUUGGAAUCAUGAGUAAACAAACAAACCCUAGUUGAUCAGUGUAUGGCUAUAAUAUGAUUCAGUAGCCCACCCAAAACAAGCAGCCAGGCACAGGAACAAAACCCUCUCCUCUAGACCACAAACAAGAAUGGAGCCACCCUCCAACUGUCGUCAACCACCCAUGUCCAAAAAUGCGUGCCCAACAACAUCGUUUCUUGCCUCUUCUCUUGGGCUGGUACUCCACUCGAGGGCUGCCAGUGAAGAUAUAGAACGCCUGUUAAAGCCAGUUGGUUUGUCAGCCCCUGUCACUACCAACGUGCAAAGACUCACUUGUCUGUUACGACCACAAUGUUCUCUCCAAGCUGCCAACGAUAUGGAGUUAGCAGUUCUCUUUACCUCCGAUGGUACACCUCAUUUUGUGGCAGUGGCAAAUCUUGCUAGGCGUGCCUUCUUCUUCGCCUCCUCCUCGGCCGAUAAUGGUACUUUACCACCGCUGUUUGUCACAAUUCCAAAUCUCUCUGUCCGAGCCUUCCUCUUUGCGGCCUCUGCAUCAGCACUUGUUGGGCUCAGUGCCAUUGGAGUCGCCGAUUCUUUCUUUUCUCCAUUACCGAACCUAGCAGCCCGUAGUCCCAGCUUUUCUGCCUCAGAGACUUUCAGUUGCGUUUUAAACCGUUCAGCGCGUCUUUGUUUCUUCUCUAAAUCUGAGAGGGGCGCCGCUACCCCUCCGCCGUUCAUUUCUUGAGCUUUUGCAUGGUCUGUUGGCACUGUUCUACCCUGUCCAGUGCUUUUGACGGCGACUGAGGGCGCCUCAACGGUAGCGGCGGAGACAUCUGCACCAGUCACUGCCCCGAAAACUUCCGAUGCCUUGCCAAUCUCACCACCUGCAAUUCCAUUGGUGUCCUUUCCUGCCACUUCUUCUGGGGUCACCACUCCAUCGGUGCCAUCCUCCUUGGGAGAGAAGUUUUUUAGACGUUCAAUUAAUAAGGACUUCAGACCUGAGGUAUCCAAGCCUCUGUUAGCCAACUCCUCCCUUAGAGUUUGCACCUUCAUCUUCUUCCACACAGUCGACAUGUAAACGCAGCAACAAGUUCCUCCUGUGGAAUUCUGGAGAGGAAAAUGCUUUUCCUCCAGCAGCCCCAAGGUCUUAAGAUUCUCCCUGAGUUAGAAUGGAGGAGGACGCUGUGGUAAGAGGGACAUAUGGAAGGAGAAUGCACAGACACAGACGAAAGAAUACCGCCCAGUAAAGACACAAUGCAGAACCUCAAGCCUCGAUCUUUGAAAAUGGAUUGCCUUACAAGGCAGGCCAACCUUUCUAUGAACNNNNNNNNNNNNNNNNNNNNNNNNNNNNNNNNNNNNNNNNNNNNNNNNNNNNNNNNNNNNNNNNNNNNNNNNNNNNNNNNNNNNNNNNNNNNNNNNNNNNAACUAACAUUGAGUGCAAGCAUGAGUAGGACAUAAAUCACCAUGAACAUGAAUAUCAUAGAGGCUAUGUUGAUUUUGUUUCAACUACAUGUGUGAACAUGCGCCAAGUCAAGCCACUUGAAUCAUUCAAAGGAGGAUACCAUCCUAUCAUACUACAUCAUAGUCAUCUCAACAUUCAUGUUGGCAACCAAGACAAACCAUUAUAAGCUCCUAGCUAAGUAAGCAUGGCAUAAGCAACUAUGAUCUCUAAGUUGUCAUUGCAAACAUGUUUCUUUCACAACAAAGCUGAACUAGGAACAGUGAGCUAGUCAUAUUUACAAAAACAAAAUAGAUCGAGUUUAUACCAGAUUUUCCAGGCUCAGUCACUUCAUCAUAUAUCGUCAUUAUUGCCUUUCACUUGCACGACCGAAUGAUGUGAACAAUAGUAAGAGUGCUCGUGCAUUGGACUAAAGCUGGAAUCUGCAGGCAAACACAAAGGAGAAGACACAGUAAUAUGGCUCUAUAACAGCUAAACAGGUAUGCAUGCAAGAGCCACUAAACAUUGUAACCAUGGUCUUCUACCUUGACCCAAAGAAAAAGAAAACUAUUUACACGGGAAAGCUUCCAACAAGCAAACGAAGAAAAGAAAAUCUUUUUGGGUNNNNNNNNNNNNNNNNNNNNNNNNNNNNNNNNNNNNNNNNNNNNNNNNNNNNNNNNNNNNNNNNNNNNNNNNNNNNNNNNNNNNNNNNNNNNNNNNNNNNCCCCGGGUCUAUUCACAUCCAUCAUUUACACCUCCGCUUUUACUUUGCUUUUUUACUUUGUUGCUUUAAGUUCUCACUUGGCGAACAAUCUAUAAGCGAUUGACAACCCCUUCAUAGCGUUGGGAGCAAGCUUUUGUGUUUGUGCAGGAUCUUGUGACACUCCUGUAGUGGAUUGAUACCUUGGUUCUCAAAUUGAGGGAAAUACUUGCCACCGCUGUGCUACAUCACCCUUUCCGCUUCGAGGGAACACCAACGCAAGGCUCCAAUGCCACGGGGUAAAUCCUUUGCAUAUUUGCGUAGGAAGUCCCUUAAGGCGUAGCCAUAGCAGAAGGAUUCCUGGUGCCGUCGACACGACUAUUCUUGGCGUCGUUGCCAGGGAAGCAUAGCUCACAUCACUUCUCCUAACGUGAUUUCNNNNNNNNNNNNNNNNNNNNNNNNNNNNNNNNNNNNNNNNNNNNNNNNNNNNNNNNNNNNNNNNNNNNNNNNNNNNNNNNNNNNNNNNNNNNNNNNNNNNNNNNNNNNNNNNNNNNNNNNNNNNNNNNNNNNGAUUUCCAUGAACGUUCCACCUGAGGCGGAGUCCAAGAUAUUUCUAGAAGCUAAAUUCAAGCCAGCGCAAAAGAUUUGUAUAAUCAUCCAAAGACUCAAGCCAUGAGCGGGACAAUUUCUAAUCAUUAAUUUCAUUCUCUCCCAAGCUUGUGCAACAUGUUCAUGAUCAAGUUGCUUGAAAUUCGUGAUAUCAUUAUGGACAGAGAUGAUCUUAGCCGGCGGAAAAUACUUGGAUAUGUAAGCAUCUUUGCACUUAUCCCAAGAAUCGAUAGUAUAUUUGGGCAAAGAAGAAAACCAUGUUUUCGCGCGAUCACGCAACGAGAAAGGAAAAAAGCUUCAAUUUAAUAACGCCAUUAUCCACAUCUUUCUUCUUUUGCAUAUCGCAAAGUUCAAUGAAGGUAUUGAAAUGGGAUGCGACAUCUUCACUAGGAAGGNNNNNNNNNNNNNNNNNNNNNNNNNNNNNNNNNNNNNNNNNNNNNNNNNNNNNNNNNNNNNNNNNNNNNNNNNNNNNNNNNNNNNNNNNNNNNNNNNNNNUAUUGGCAUCUAGUAUUCGUCGAGCAUCGUUCUAGCCAUCUCCAUGAGAGUCCGGUUCUUCCACUCAACAACUCCAUUUGGUUGAGGUGUGUACGUCGCCGAGAACUCAUGUAAUAUACCUUCUUCAUCAAGUAAAAUAUCCGCAUUUGUGUUCUUGAACUCCAAUCCAAUGUCGCUCCGAGCUUUCUUGAUCUUCACUUUAAACUGAUUUUGGGCUUUCCAAUCGAAGUUCUUGAAGAUCUUUUAUACCUACAACUUCUCAUCAAGAAAUAAUACCCACGUAAAUCGGGAAAACCAUCAACUAUAACUAGACCAAAAGAAUUUCCACCGAGGCUCUUGUAAGCAUUGGGACCAAAGUGAUCCAUGUGAAGCAGCUCGAGUGGCCUUCUAGCAGUCAUGAUAUUCUUCACGUGGUGACUUCCACCAACUUGUGUCCCUGCUUGACAAGAACUACAAAGUCUAUCUUUGUCAAAAAUAACACCUUUAACACCAAGAAUAUGAUCACCUUUGAUAAGCUUGUCUAGAUUAUGUAUACCAACAUGUCCUAGCCUUCUAUGCCAUAACCAACCUUUAGAAGAUUUUGCAAUAAGACAUGUACGGUGUCAGGAUUUGUUAGUGAAAUCGACAAUGUAUGGGUGUUCCCUCGAAGCGGAAAGGGUGAUGUAGCGCAGCGGUGGUAAGUAUUUCCCUUAGUUUGAGAACCAAGGUAUCGAUCCAGUGAAGGAGUAUCACAAGAGCCUGCACAAACACAAAAAGCUUGCUCCCAACGCUAUGAAGGGGUUGUCAAUCCCUUAUAAAUUGUUUGCCAAGUGAGAACUGAAAGAAACAAAGUAACAAAGCAAAGUAAAAGCAAAAGUGGAAACGAUAGGUGUGAAUAGACCCGGGGGCCGUAGUGUUUACUAGUGGCUUCUCUCAUGAAAGCAAGUAGACGGUGGGUGAACAAAUUACUGUCGAGCAAUUGAUAGAACCACGCAAAGUCGUGACGUCAUCUAUGGCAAAGAUUAUAUCUAUAGGCAUCACGUCCAAAACAAGUAGACCGAUACUUUCUGCAUCUACUACUAUUACUCCACACGUCGACCGCUAUCCAGCAUGCAUCUAGUGUAUUAAGUUCAUAAGAACAGAGUAACACCUUAAGCAAGAUGACAUGAUGUAGAUGGACAAUCUCAUAUGUACGAUAAAAGCCCAUCUUGUUACCCUUGAUGGCAACAAAACGACGCGUGCCGUGCUGCCCCUUCUAUCACUGGGAAAGGUCACCACACGGUAUGAACCCAAAACCAAGCANNNNNNNNNNNNNNNNNNNNNNNNNNNNNNNNNNNNNNNNNNNNNNNNNNNNNNNNNNNNNNNNNNNNNNNNNNNNNNNNNNNNNNNNNNNNNNNNNNNNNGCAAGCAAUGUAACUUAAUGUAAGUUGCGGGAUCUUGUAUUACAGAACGAGUAAAGAGACUUGCCGGUAAACGAGAUUGAAAUAGGUAUGCGGAUACUAACGAUCGAAUCUCGGGCAAGUAACAUACCGANNNNNNNNNNNNNNNNNNNNNNNNNNNNNNNNNNNNNNNNNNNNNNNNNNNNNNNNNNNNNNNNNNNNNNNNNNNNNNNNNNNNNNNNNNNNNNNNNNNNNNNNNNNNNNNNNNNNNNNNNNNNNNNNNNNNNNNNNNNNNNNNNNNNNNNNNNNNNNNNNNNNNNNNNNNNNNNNNNNNNNNNNNNNNNNNNNNNNNNNNNNNNNNNNNNNNNNNNNNNNNNNNNNNNNNNNNNNNNNNNNNNNNNNNNNNNNNNNNNNNNNNNNNNNNNNNNNNNNNNNNNNNNNNNNNNNNNNNNNNNNNNNNNNNNNNNNNNNNNNNNNNNNNNNNNNNNNNNNNNNNNNNNNNNNNNNNNNNNNNNNNNNNNNNNNNNNNNNNNNNNNNNNNNNNNNNNNNNNNNNNNNNNNCGGAAUGGUCCGGAAACGAAGAUUGAUAUAUAGGAUGACCUCAUUUGGUUACCGGAAGGUUUUCGUGCAUUACCGGAAAAGUUUCGGGCUUAUCGGUAGUGUACCGGGAGUGCCGGGAGGGGUGCCGGGGACCAUCGGGAGGGGUGUCACGCCCCAAGGGGUCUCAUGGGCUAUGGGAAGAGAUAAACCAGCCCCUAGUGGGCUGGAAUAAGUUCCCACUAAGGCCCAUAAGGUUUGAGAAGGAAAAAACACAAGGUGGAAAGAGUUUCCAAGUGGGAAGGUGGAAUCCUACUCCAAGUAGGAUUGGAGUAGGACUCCUCCACCUCCAAUUUCGGCCAAACCUUUAGGUUUUGAGGCUGCCUCCUCCCCUCCCUCCCACCUAUAUAUACGGAGGUUUUAGGGCUGAUUUGAGACGACUUUUCCACGGCAGCCCGACCACAUACCUCCACGGUUUUUCCUCUAGAUCGCGUUUCUGCGGAGCUCGGGCGGAGCCCUGCUGAGACAAGGUCAUCACCAACCUCCGGAGCGCCGUCAUGCUGCCGGAGAACUCUUCUACCUCUCCGUCUCUCUUGCUGGAUCAAGAAGGCCGAGAUCACCGUCGAGCUGUAUGUGUGCUGAACGCGGAGNNNNNNNNNNNNNNNNNNNNNNNNNNNNNNNNNNNNNNNNNNNNNNNNNNNNNNNNNNNNNNNNNNNNNNNNNNNNNNNNNNNNNNNNNNNNNNNNNNNNNNNNNNNNNNNNNNNNNNNNNNNNNNNNNNNNNNNNNNNNNNNNNNNNNNNNNNNNNNNNNNNNNNNNNNNNNNNNNNNNNNNNNNNNNNNNNNNNNNNGCGGGGCGGAUCGAGGGACGUGAGGACGUUCCACUACAUCAACCACAUUCACUAACGCUUCUGCUGUGCGAUCUACAAGGGUACGUAGAUCACUCAUCCCCUCUCGUAGAUGGACAUCACCAUGAUAGGUCUUCGUGCGCGUAGGAAAAUUUUUGUUUCCCAUGCGACGUUCCCCAACAUAUAACCCCAUCAGCGCGUGAAGCAGAUGUGAUCUGAUUCUCUUGACGGCUAGGGUUGGCGUUAGCCCUGCUUAUAUAGGCGGGCGGGUGGAGAGACGUGGGCUGAACCCACGUCCGAGUCAGUAACAGCCCACGAUCCGACGUCUCAUAUCGUGGCGCAUCCAUUACGUAUUCUCCGUUCCUGACCGGCAAAAAUAAACGCGUAGGUAUGAGCUUGGCUCGUCUCAUUCCCGCAACCCGUCGUGACGAGGCGUGGCGUGGUGAGGCGGGCGACGGAGGAGGAGUGCGCGAGGGCAUCUUCUCUUCUCACUCUCCAAUAGCAUGUAGAAGAGAGACCCUUAUAAAGGGGUCCAACUUCUUCUUCACUAGCGGGGAGGGACUAAACUUCCCACCACUACCUUGUCAUGCCACCACCUACAUGGGCCCUUGGAGAUUUCAGAAAUUCUCUUAUGGGCCUAAAGCCCGCCACGAAUUUCAACAAUCCCCCACCAUAUCUCAAGGACACAUCGUGUUCCAUCGUUUCAAUUACUGUUUUAAUAUACCAGCAUUUCAGUGAAGACCUGCUAAGGUUGAGCUUCACCUAGAACAAGCAGCUACACCCCUUUACAACUGAACAAUGGACUAUGCCUUGAAUUGUCAGUUUGGCGUAAAGAAGCUUCACCACAAGUCUUACUAGUACUAGGCUACCGAAGGCUGACCCCUCGGAUGGAGCAUAUUAGUCACACUCCUUGCCUAUUCAUGAGUUUACUAGAGAUCACCCCAAUCUCAUAGACUGCGACCAGCAGUCAGGCUCAUAUAGGUGUGUUCCUUCAAAAAUCGCUCUGUAAGACAACAUCUUGCUUACACAUAAGCUUUAGAACACAUUAAGACAAUAGCAUCCUACCAUAGAGUAUCCGAGAGCAUUGCAUCUCCAACGGAGUGGGUUAGUAAAGUUACUCUCCUCAGUUCACCACCGACUUGUUUUCCCAGGUCCUACUUCACGGGAUCUCCGAUCAUAUAGGUUGGGUUACUGCCAUGGCAACUCAUGUGGGUCUCAUACCCAUCUCCCUCGAUGCACUAUCUAUCACAACACGUGAUAGCCCUUUAGUAAAGGGAUCUUCCAGAUUCUUAGCCGUUUGGAUGUAAUCCAAUGCUAUCACUCCGGAGUUUCUCAAACGUCUGACAGACUUCAAUCUCAUUCUUAUAUGUUUGUUGGACUUCAUAUUGUCCUUUGAACUCUUCACUUUGACAAUAACUGAUAGAUUAUCGCAGUUCAUAAGGAUAGCCGGAACCGGCUUCUUAACCACAAGUAAGUCCAUCAAAAGAUCUUGAAGAAAUUCUGCUUCGACACCAGAAGUGUCUAAUGCUGUUAAUUCUGCUUUCAUUGUCGAUCUCUCCGUUCCUGACCGGCAAAAAAAAGCGCACAGGUAUGAGCUCGGCUCGGCUCAUUUCCGCAACCCGCGACGCGUCGUGACGAGGCGGGCGACGGAGGAGGAGUGCGCGAGGGCCUCUUCUCUUCUCACUCUCCAAUAGCAUGUAGAAGAGAGACCCGUAUAAAGGGGUCCAACUUUUUCUCCACUAGCGGGGUGGGACUAAACUUCCCACCACUACCUUGUCAUGCCACCACCUACAUGUGCCCUUGGAGAUUUCUGAAUUUCUCUUAUGGGCCUAAAGCCCAACACUAAUUUCAACAUAUUACAAAAAAUAUAUCAUUAGAAACUUUAGAUGUUCUAUUUUCUUAUGAUAUAAUUUUUAUGUUAAAUAAUAUAUUUUAUAUAAGUUAAAUUAACGACCUAGGUACACAUGCAUCCUUCUAAACUGUGACGGAGGGAAUAAGAAAACUUGAUGCAAACAUUCAGAAAGUGUCAAAUCAUUAACUUCCCGAAAACCCCAGUUUUCCUAUCUCUCAACCGACCGACAAAUACUCCAUUCAUAUCAAAUUAUAAGAUGUUCGAAGUUCAAGAAGUCAUACGAUUAAUCAGUUAACUUGUCGUUUAAUUCCUACUCGCAAGUUCAUCAAAUAGCCGAUAUAUUAAUAAAUCUACCAAUUAAUUAAUUUAAUGACCGAUUAACUUGUUGAUUAGAAACAUGCAAGGAAAUCAAUGAAUCUAAGUGAUCAACCUGUGACCAAGUAAUAGAUUAGUCAACUAGCAUAAGGAUGGAUGGUAACAAAGUCAGCGGACGCAGGAGCAACACACAUGCCGAGGAUACGAACUAAGCGGCACUGGCAGGGCACCUCAGAGAGGUGGCGGGUUAACGUCGUCGACACGCUUAGCUUGGUGUGGAUCAUCGAUGUGAGGAGCCUCUCCUCCAUAGUGCGUCAUCGCUGGACUCAAUUUCGAACCCCUCCUCCCACCAGAACAACAACAAGGUGUGGCGGUCUUGCUUGAUUCCUCACUUAUCUUCUUCUUUGUUAUUUUCAUCCUCUGCUCACCUGCCCCUUGGAAGAACCUCAAGCGACAUCACCUCACCUCAUUCUUCACCUCAUUCAUGCCCCUCGUACUCUCUUUCCUUGCUCGGUCCUAAGUUCCUGACCCACAUGGCAACAUCACUUCCAAAUCAAACAACACCUUUCGUGCAUGAGAGAUACAUGUCCGACCUGUCGGGAACAAGGGAAGGGGAGGAUCGACCGGGGUGCGUCGCUGCAGCUUGGCGAGGGAGAUGAUAGAUCGGAAGCAUGCGUCAUUUUUUAACCGGGCGUGCCUCUUUCCAUUACUUAACAUAAUGAAAAUACAAAGUUCCGAACAACAAAGGAAACCACAAAGGGGAGCGAGUUCAAAGCAUUUCUGGAAAAUCCACCAUAUGCACUCGUCAACGAGCAGCCUACCGCAGGACGAAAACCCAGAAACACCAUAAAACACACCAGCUAACCUAACCAACAAAGCCAGGGGAAAAACUCUUACACAACUACAGGAUACAGGUAGACCCACCACCGAGUCGACCAAUCACCCACGCAGGGGCCAAAACAGAAGAACUAAGCCAUGCAUCUACCAUCAUUAGUUGAUAUUCUUGAGGGCUGCACAAAUCCGCAUCAUGCUUAAUGCAUUGCUCUUCACCAUCUUUGCUCGACGCUCCAUCGCCUUCUGAUCAGCUCUAGUCAUCCGUUUUCAGGAACAUUCUGGAAGAUUCCAACCUGUUUUUUUCGCUUUCACGAAUAUUAUAGAAGAUCAACGUUUUUUGUUGAUUUUUUUACUAAUGUUUUUAUUUCAAUUUUAUUUUCCUUAUAUUUUUGUUCAAAUUGUUCACAACUUCUAUAGAAAAAAUUGUGGAUUUACACAAAUAAUAGCGUUUCAAAACUUUUUUGCUAGUUUUAAAGAAUUUUUGUGUUUCCAAAUUUUGUUUGGAAGAUUCAGAAAAUGUUCUUAUUUUUAAAAAUUGUUCAGAUAUUUCAAAAUUUGUUCAGGAGUUUAAAAAAAUGUUCCCGUUUCAAUAAUUGUUUGCAUAGUCCAAACAAUGUUCGUGUUUUCAAAUUUUGCUUCAGAGUCUCAAAACCACGUUCUAUUAUCCAAAAAAAAUUCAUGUUCCAAUAUGUUUUGAAAUUUCGAAAAAUGUUGCCGUCGUGGAAAAAAUGUAUUGUAUUGCCAAAUUGUGUUCCAUAAUUUCAAAAAAAUGGUGUUAUCUAAGGAAAUUGCAACUUAGAAGAUAUUCCCAUUUUGAAAAAUGUUUGUGUAUUCAUUUCUAGCCAGAUUUUCAAAAACAUUUUUCAGUAUUCUCAAAAAUGUUCCCAUUUUCAUAAAUGUUUGAGUUUAAAAGAAUAAUGUUCACAAAAAUCCUUAAAAUAUGUUCACAAAUUUCAAAAAAAUCAUGUCCUAUUAUUUGGUUCAGGAGUUUAAAAAAUGUUUCCGUUUCAAUUAUUGUUUGCAUAUUUGAAUAAAUGUUCGCAUUUUCAAAUGUUGUUCCAGAAUCCACGUUCUACUUUUCAAUAAAAAAUCGAUGUUCUGAAUUUUCUUUUGAAAUUUCAAAAAAUGUUUCUUUUUUCGAAAAUAUGUAUUGUGUUUUCAAAAAAAAUCCCCAAUUUUUUAAAAAGUGCUGUUUUCUAAAGAAAUUGCAAUUUAAAAUAUAUUCCAAUUUUGAAAAAAUGUUUGCGCAUUCAUUUCUUGCCCGAUAUCCAGGUGGUAUAACAUGAUCAUUUUUUUAGGUCUGGAGAAUCGCGCUACAGUACCCACUCGCUGCUGGUCUCUAACUUGGGCCGACCUAGUCGGUUAUCUGCUUGUGAGUGCGGACCGCAAUUUGCCGCACAGAACGGCCGAUAGACCUCCGGUCAGUCGCUGGUUCAUCUGGGUCACGCGGCCACUGUAUUGGGCCUAAUCUAAGCCAACGACUUGCGGCGCACUCCGGCCGAACGCCACGAACAACAUAUGCAUCGCUCCAAGUCUCCAAGAUGAGGCUUUGCUAUCCGAGUAGUACACGCAGUGCUUGACAUGCACACAUAUCCCUGUUUGAGUCCAACUCCCCCUCACCAACCUUCCCUGGAUACCUAGGGCUGGCCCCUUCAGGGCACUCAGAAGUCACGAGCUGCAACUCGCAACACCAUCGCCGAUCAGCCCUCGUCUCGUUCCUCCGCAACCAUCAGCACGCUCGCUCUCAUGGCGCAGAGCUCUUCCUCGGCAUUGCACGACCAGAUCAGUUUUGAUCUCGAGCGCCGCAGGAUAUGUGUCCUUCGCGUCGGAGAGAGUUGCAAGGAAGUCCUCCGCGUCGUCUUCGCCGUCGCCACGCCAAUCGGUGCUGAUCUCUUCCAUGUCCAACGACACCGUCGCCAUGAAUCGGCCCAACACUACGAAGGAAGAGGUAGCAAACAAGCGCUAUGCUCCGAUGCGGCCCCAGCCACAGCCGCACCGGCCCGCCACCACCAAUGCUGCCGGCAAGAAGAUCUACUACUUGGACAUGGGAGAAGCUCCGAUGAGGCGACCGGUUCCGCGGACGAUGAGGAUCCUGACCUCGUCCACCGUGAAGGUUUCUGACGUAGCGAGCGGGGGAGUUCCCGAGAAGUCCUCCGCCCCUCUGCCACCGUGUCGAUCCGCGCUGAUCCCUGCCAUCUCAAACGGCGCCGCCGCAGUUAAGCCGGCAAACGCUGCGAAGGAAGCAGUUGGAAAGAAACGCUCUGCCCCACCGCCGCCGUCGCCGCCACGCCAAUCCGCGCUUGUGCCGCUCGCGACGAUCAAUGCUGCCGGCAAGAAGAUCGCUUACACGGAGCUGGGAGAAGCUAAGAGGAGAAGGUUUCAAGCGAGAUUAGCAUGUAUGAUGAAUUGCAUUAGGUUGCACUUGUGGCUGGUUACAUUCACUAAGGCCAGUACUUCUAUAUGAGUACUGAACUAGCGAAAAAUAAUAUUUUCUUCUAAUAGACUAGUAAACGUGUACGUGCAAUGCACGUCUAUUAUCACCCAACCCAUAGGAAAAUAGACUGAUAUCCCUUAAUCAUGUUUGAGAGUUGUACCAAGGCAUCUAGACAUCUAACAACAUUACAUAAUAAACAACACAUACUUAUCCUCAUCAAAAAAGUUAAAUCAGUAGAAGACCCUCCUUAACAUAUAUUUAAAAGAAAGAAUAUUCACAUUACAUGUGUCAACAAUUCUAUAUGAAAGCAAUGUUAAUUAGCAUGAAAGAUUUAAUUAUGUGAGUUUAUUUAAGAAGGCACAACAUAGUCUCCUAUAUAACCCCAAUGCCAAUCCUAUUGAAUAAAAAUGAUGAUAACUCAUAGUUAUACGGAAAUGCCUAUUGGAGCUCUUUGUUUUUGAAAAAUUCAAAAUUCAAAAUUUCUGUUUCAAAAAAAUCUAAAAAAAUAUGCAAGUAUACAAGGAUGAAAUGUAUAUGUGUGCAAAAAUUCAGUAUGAAAUACCUUAAGAUUCGAUCUGUGCAAAAAGAACAAAUUUAUGAACUUUUGGUAUGAAUAGUAUCAUGUGUUAAAAAAAUCAAAAAAUUGUCUUUUUUACACAGACCUCGUUUCAACGUAUUUUGUUCUAAAAAAUUCCACACGUGUGUGUUAUGCCUUCAUGUAUAUUCAUAUAUUUUUGAAAUGUAAAAAUAUGAAUUUUGAUGAAUUUUGAGAUUUUCAAAAACAGGGCUCCAUGGAGCCCGUGCUCCAAAACGCCCCACUCAUAGUUAUACACUUAGGGUGUGUUUGGCAGCUGUUCUCACCCUAGCAUAGUUGUUCCCUGUUGAUGCAUGCUAAGUAUAGACAUGAUAAAUACAUUCAUCUUCAGUUGUUUGAUGGUCAUGUAUGUGUUGUGACAUGUUUGGAUGAGACUGUGUUUGGUAGGAAGAGGGAGGAGGAAGAGGUGCAUUGCGAGGGAGGAAGAGAAGGGAGGUGAAGGAACGGGGGGAGGGGGCGGAGGCGGCGACGGGGCUCGGAAGGCUCCUCCACCACCGUGACCUCGACCGGAUCCGUAGCCCCACGCUGCCUAGCGACCGGAUCCGUAGCCCCACGCNNNNNNNNNNNNNNNNNNNNNNNNNNNNNNNNNNNNNNNNNNNNNNNNNNNNNNNNNNNNNNNNNNNNNNNNNNNNNNNNNNNNNNNNNNNNNNNNNNNNNNNNNNNNNNNNNNNNNNGAUCCGUAGCCCCACGCCGCGUCGCGACCCGAUCCAGAUGCAAAGAACGCCAUGCUGUGGAGAUCGAGGAGAAGGAGAGUGGGCGAGGCCGCGGGGGCUCGGGCGGGGCUCGAGCGAGGCCGCUGGAGCUCGGGCGAGGCGCAGCGGGGCUCGGACGAGGCCGUCGGAGCUCGAGCGAGGCCGCCGGAGCUCGGACGAGGCGCGCGCGGGGGGGGGGGNNNNNNNNNNNNNNNNNNNNNNNNNNNNNNNNNNNNNNNNNNNNNNNNNNNNNNNNNNNNNNNNNNNNNNNNNNNNNNNNNNNNNNNNNNNNNNNNNNNNNNGGGGGGGGGGGGGGGGCUCGGGCGAGGCUGCCGGAGCUCGGGAGGGGCGCGGGAGGGCGAGGGUGAGGCAGCCAGGGAGCGACGGGGUGAGGGCGAGGCGGGGCGAGGGGGCAUGGGCUCAGCAUAGCUCUCCUCAGCUCGCCUCCGAGGGGGUGCUGGGCUCAGCUAUGCUGAGGCCCUUUUUUGCAUCAGUUGAUGCAUGCUCUCCUCAGCCCAUACACCCUACCAAACAGCGAAAAGUGGGUCGGGUAGGAACUUUUGGGCUCAUACACUCUCCAUGCAGGCUACCAAACACGCCCUUAUACUACCUUCAGCUACCAACUUGUCCUAUCCUCAUUUUUAGUUACGACUGCCCCUGUCCUAUUUUUUUACCGGAAGCCUAUUGUCUAUCAUUCCACAAGAUGGCAAAACUUCACGAUUUUUUUAGUACAACCAUAUUUUAUUUUUCUUCAAAGACUAUACUUCACAAACAAUUUCUUUAAAAAGUACAUAAUACUUCUAGGAAAUUGCAGGUAAAUCCAAAGUUCGUAAUUAUUAGCUUACACAUAAAAAUGAUACAAAGUUAACAAAUAACUUUUCUAUCCAAAUAUAUGGAUCAACUAAUGAAAAUAUUACUACACAUUGUUAUUCAUCUUGCUAUUCAUGAUGUCAAUCAAAUAUUUUUAUAUGUGGUGACGUAAUCCCCAGUUUUUUACACAUGCUGAUAGCCCCUAAUCAUCAUCUUGAUUACUUUACACAAACAACAUGGAUAACGACUUGGAUUUCAAAUUAUAAAUAUCAUCUAUAAUACAAUGCGAACAAAUACAGUGUACUGUAUAUGAAUAUUCAAUGAAAGGAUAUACUUGUAUACUUAAAGCAACAUGCGUUAUUGCUGGUACCACAACAAUUACUCGCUCUUCACAUCCUAUGUCAUGCAUAGUAAAUAAAUAAUGUUUGGCGCUAGCUUGUAUUCAAGUACAAUAUGAUUGAUCUUCCAGUUUUCUUCAAUUAUAAUCUAGACCGACUAAACCUCAAGUACUGAUAGGUAAUUGGUACAACCGUAAUCAACGAGGGAGGAACCAUCAGGCUAGCUGAGGUCGUCUGCUCAUGGAGAUUGAUAAUCACCCUUCCGUUCCCGAUGACCCCCCUUCUUCACCAUUGCGACGAACUCCCCAUAGUCGAUUUGGACAUCUUGAUCAAUGUAUUACCCCCUCCGUCCGGAAAAGCUUGUCCGACGCUUAGUUCAUUUGUAGUUUUCCAAAAACAACCUUGUGAUUUAAAAUCCCUUCCUAAUCAACCACCCCACCCCCUCUCUACUUCUUCUUCCUUUUAGCUUCGCCCCCAGCAGGAACCAACUCCGUCCACCGCCGGCAGCUAUCGUAGAGCCCAACGUGCCGCCGCCGACAUGCGCCGCCCAUGCGCCUUGCCUUGCCGUCUCUGCGAAUAACACCCCCCGCCCCCUCUAUUUUGUCCUCCUCCCCAUCCCCAUCCCCUUCCCCGAUGAUCUCGGACAUGUAGUUGCGGCGGUGGAGCCGUGGGACCCGUCGGCCCACUCCGUCAUCAAUUCUGACGACCCAGAGUGGUUCUUUGCCGCCGCGUCCGCCCAAAGUACCCCGGGCAGCCGCUGCUCCUUCCCCGCUGCCGCCCACUCCGGUACAAGAGUUGGGAAAGUCCCCAGCCAGGGUGCAGCAACUGGUGUUCAGGGUGCUUGCGGCUCCUUCCCCGUCGCUGGUGGAAUCGCCACCAAGCCCGAGCUGGUCACCGCGCUGGUGGAAUCGCCACUGCUGGUCACCGAGCUCCUUCCCCGCGCCCCCGCCACUGUUUCUGUUGCUCCUGCAAAUUUGUUAUGGUAGUUACUCCUUUCAAUGGCACAAUGUUAAUUGGUCAUGAUCUACCAGUUUUUGGAAACAAUCGCNNNNNNNNNNNNNNNNNNNNNNNNNNNNNNNNNNNNNNNNNNNNNNNNNNNNNNNNNNNNNNNNNNNNNNNNNNNNNNNNNNNNNNNNNNNNNNNNNNNNNNNNNNNNNNNNNNNNNNNNNNNNNNNNNNNNNNNNNNNNNNNNNNNNNNNNNNNNNNNNNNNNNNNNNNNNNNNNNNNNNNNNNNNNNNNNNNNNNNNNNNNNNNNAAUUUUUGGAAACAAUCAUUAUUUUUGGACUGGAUCUUUGCACUAUAAUAUUGGAAACAAUCAGACGAUUUUGGAAACAAUCAAUUACUCCAUAUUUUUCAAUGAUAUUGGAUACAAUCAGAAUUCUCCAAAGUGAAAAUCAAUCCCUCGACAUAAUUAAGGUGCAAACAUCAGUGCAAUUCUGAGAGAAGUUAAAAGUGCUCGCCAUAGGUGUGCCUUGGAGAUGAAUUCUCACAUUGAUUUUGUGUUGCGCUGAUAUAGGAACAACAAUGGUUGCGCCAGAAUCUGCAACCACAUCUGGCUCAUUGUCCUGCAAAUGAAGAAUUGAGUCAGUUUAUUAUCUGUGAAACAAGAUGCACAAUUGAUCAAUAAUUAUCCUUAGGCUUGUUGUGAACAUACAUGAGCCAUAGCACAACAGUCCCCCACAUAAGCAGCAAGGAUUAGAGCAAACAAUCUUGAACACCAUGUCAAUAAACUGAAAAUGUUCAAGAUACUGCAGUAAACAGGAAAUGUUCAAGGUACUACAAUAAACUGAAUCAACGUCAUUUUCUCAAUGUUGUUUCAAGCAGACAAAGGAGUUUCAAGUAAACUGAAACGUUCAAGGUAAUGCAGUAAACUGAAUCAACAACAACUACUCCCAAUUCAGAAUUUUGACAGUAAGAGAAGGAAAAAAAUUAAGUGUGUAAAUAAGAUUGAAGAAUAAGAAUAAGAACAGGGGCUUGAGGAUGUUUCAGUUAUCUAAGUGAGGAACUGCGAAUUUAUUAUGGUAGAUACUCCCAAGUCCCAACUCUGAAUUUUGGUUGGCGAUCUCUUUCCAACUGACAAACAGUACUUGAAAGAGCACUGCCAUCUGCUCCCCUGCCAGCCUACCAUUGCACUCCUACUUCUCUCCCUCUCUCCCUCUCUCUCUCUCUCUCUAACUUGUUGCUGCUAGCUUCAGCAAAUUGUUGGUACUAUACAUGAAAUUCUGUAGUGAUCAGCUUGAUUAGAUAAUAAUAGUGAUCAGUUUGAUUUUAUUCCAGUAAUGAUCAGCCGAAGUAUCACUGUUCUCAGUGGCCUCAGAUCUUUUUCCUACUCAGAUCAAAUGAUUCAGUUAGAGCAAACAAGAAUCUUGCUAAUAAUCCUUAACAAGAUAAUCUUUAGUAAGACAAUAAUCUUUAGCACUUGAAAACUGUUUGCAGCAAACAAAAAAAUCUUGGAAAGUGUCCAAAAAAUUUCAGUCGGAGAGGCAUGCUCUUUUAAAAAACACCAUGAAUCCAAAAUCUAGGAGACACAUUUUGUCUAAAACAUUCUGAAUUUCUACACUGAACAUUUCUGAAUUACUAAUUCAGUAUGAACAUGUCACAACAUUUCUGAACAUUUACACGGUCACAACCUUUCUGAACAUUUACACAGUUCGCAACAUUUACAACAUUUCGAAAUUAAUGUUAGGAAAGAAGGGCAAAUGCCCUUCAAAAGGUCUCCUCCCUCCAGGUAUCUGAGUCCAUUUUAAAUGACGCUGCAACACUGACAAAACUAUAUUAAUAUCCUGCGCUAUGCUUGAAAAUAAGUUGGUGUGCCAAGAAACAGGAAGAGGUUUUACCUUCAACACCAGAAUGCUGGAGGAACAGGUUUGAAUCAUUUACGGCACUGUCAAGCUGUAAUCUUUUUCUUAUUCCAUAUUUCUAUUUAACCAUCAACCAAGUUACCCUACCAAGAUGAAGUGACAAAAUUGUACAGUUGUUGAGCAUCAAUAUAUGCUAUACGGAAAUUAUAGGUCCUACUGAUGACUGAAAGAUAUCAUACAGUGCAACCUGAACCUCUCUAGAUCUAUGCUCGCAGCGAACGAGAUUAGCUAAUAAGGGGAAAAAGAGGGGCAAAUUCCUCAUAAAGCAGUCCCUCUCUAGACCACCAAGCAACUUAAUGAUUCCCUGGAGAGAAGCCACAGAAUGGUGAGUGUGAUCUUAUUGGCAUGUCGAACACAAAUCAUGAAGACAAACUUGUUGUAAUUUCUUUGUUGUAAUUCCUAUUUUAUUUGGGUGUGCAAAGCAAAGCAGAGUAUUGAACAAAAUUUACAAAGAAAGACAUGAUAUACAAACGAUCAGCAUCAAAUUAAACUGGCACAAGGUUUGAAGUACCUGAACAAUUAAGAGUUGCAGAGACAUAUGGUUCUUCAUCUUGACAAUAGCAUAAGACGAUGUUUACACAUUAGCUUCCUCUUCAUCCUCAUUGUAUAUUUCAGGGUAUGAAUAUUUCUCUGCUUCACAGUAAGACUCGUUUCUUUCUGGAAUUUCAAUAUUUUGCAUCAUCUUAACUAUUUUUCGAAAACAACCAAUGUGUGUGCUGCUGAUUCUUUAAAGCAUAAUAAGAUCUCUUUCCAUUCGUCCUUAGAGAGUUUGCUUGCAAGCCCUUCUGUUAAACGCUGAAAAACAGGCAUACCAGUGCUAGCAGUUUGUCUACAAGCGCUUCUGAUAAAACUGGUAACAACAGAGGUAACUCUAGUGAGUUCUGGCUGCAUUACAUCAAAAAAUGUAACAUACAGAUCCGCUAAACAUUUCACAGCCACUGCUUUAGUUUCAAAAUUCCACGAAUUGUCCUCAGUGCUAUCACUUUGACCAUUGGCUGUACAGAUUUCACCAUUAAAUAGAGGAUAAAUAACAUAUCCAAAGAAAUUGGUCCAAAAGUUCUGAGAGAACAGUUCUCCAUGGUCCUUCAAAAUGUCAAAGAGUACUUCUACUGCACCUUUUCUAUAGCAAAUCAUUGAUCAGGAAACAUCAUGACCUAUUCCAAAAUUCUGAACUUUGGAGUAAAAAGUUACAGUAAUGAACAUGUUACAGUAAGGAACACACACUGAACCUACAGUCCCAAAUUCGUGUGCCUUUCAUUGAUUCUGGAAAAAAAGGAGGAGAUUGCAGCUUCACCUGAGCACGAAUCAUGGACGGGCCGAAGCUCCGGCCGUUGGCAGCCGUGGGGAAGAACGAGGCGGUCGCUGUGCGUAGGCGCCGGCUUUGCUCUACUCUGGCUAUCACGGCCGCUGUGUCCGUUGGAGAAGCAGGGGAUGACGAAGAUGCAGAGAGCCCAGGAGGCCAACAAAGGCGACGACGUUGGUUGACCCCGAGCACCUCCAGCCGCGAGGGAGGAGAGCUCCCUCGAUCCCGUCACCUCUGCGCCCGAGCUCCACCUCGCACCGAUGGCCGGCGAGCCUCCGGCGAACAGCAGCAGCAUGACCACCGUCGCACCUCACCGUUCUCUUCUCCCUCCCUCCAGCCUCCCAUCUCCUUCCUCCCUUUCUUUCCCUUCCUCCCUUUCUCUCGCGCCAUUGUCCACCUAAUCUGCCGAGAUCCAGCAGGUCCUCGUCGACCGCGCCACCGCAAGCCGUGUAAGGCCGCCGCAGGUCGAGUCUGCGUCGUGGGCAACACCCUGGCCAGCUCCGUCCGCCCCCCAUGCGCCCGGCCGUCCGCGUCGUCGCGCCGCCCUGCCUGCUGGCCUCCCGCCGGCCGUCCGCUUCGGCACGCCCGGCCACGCUCCGGUCGUCCGCUUCGCCAUGCCCGGCCAUGCUCCGGCCCUCUCAGCCAUGCCCAGGCCACACGGUUCAUGGGGGAGGCGCUGGGGGAAGGCGGCACGGGUGGAGGGGUUGGCGGAGGGGCAAGCGUCGGGGCCGAGCGGCGCGUCCGGCAGAGGGGCGGGCGGCGGGCAGCGAGGGCGGAGGGGCGAGCGGUGCGGGCGUGGGCAGCGUGGGCGGUUGAGAGUCUUGAGAGGGAGCGUGAUUAUUAGACGAAGCUACGUUACGUUAGCGAACCUAUUUCGUUAACAGACUAUUUCGUUAACGAUGAUUCAUGACCAUUAGAUUAGUAAUCCAACAACUAAUAUUCUUAGUUGGAUCUGCCUUCUCGUGCCUUUUAUAGUACAGAUAAGCUACUUUCGAUGUCCACAAGUAAACAAAUAAUAAUUUAUCCUAUACUUUUUAAUAAUCACGUUACUCAACACCCCCUCCCCCGUCACAACAAUAACAACGCAGACGGUGAGACUCGAGAAUAUUGCGAAGCUAAGCGGACGGUCAUCCCCACAGUCGUAACGGUCGAUGCAUCACGGAAGUUGUGGCUGGAGUGAAAAAUCGACGAGGUUGCUCAAGCAAGGAGGCCCUUUGUCCUGAUGUCGAGGUAGCCGAGAGAGUAGGAUGGUGUAGCCUUAGUCAAGGUAGCCAUGCGAAGAACGCGGUGAUCGAUGUCGAGGAAGUCGUUGUGGAGCCGCGGACGCAUGGAGCCACCGAGUUAGUCAUGAACACAAUGGUGUUGAAGUAAUGGUGAGCCGGAAUGAAGACGUAGUUGAUGACACGUCGCGGUGGGUUUGCCAAGAUCGGGGACACUUCAUGGACAAGGCACACAUCGGUGUUUCCAGCACCGGGCAUGUGUAGACGGAUGAAGGCGAUGUUGACGAUGCGUCGUUCCAGUUUUGCCACCGGGGACAAACGCACGCGUUGGUGUUGUCAGCACCGGGCAUGCAUAGAUGGGGACUUGCACAAACUGGUACACCAUGUCGAGAAGGCUAGAAGAGAAGGACUCGUCGACGAUUGCGGUGCAAAUCGGCGAGGGCCUUGCACAAACUGGUACACCAUAGGGUGGUGUAGCCUUAGUCGAGGUAGCCACGCGAAGAACGCGGUGAUCGAUGUCGAGGUAGUUGUCAUGGAGCCGCGGGCGCAAGGAGGCGCUGAGUUAGUCAUGAGCACAAUGGUGUUGAAGUAGCGGUGAGCCGGAAUGAAGAUGUAGUUGACGACGCGUCGUGGUGGGUUUGCCAUGACCGGGGACACUUCGUGGACAAGGCAAACAUCGGUGUUUCCAGCACCGGGCAUGUGUAGGCGGAUGAAGGUGAUGUUCACGAUGCGUCGUUCCAGUUUUGCCAGGACUAAGAACACACUCGGACAAAGGCACACGUUGGUUUUGUCAGCACCAGACAUGCAUAGAUGGGGACUUGCACAAACUGGUACACCAUGUUGAGAAGGCUAGUAGAGAAGGACUCGUCGACGAUUGCGGCGCAAAUCGGCGAGGGUGGGGAUGUCGCUCGCAGUGGUCGGAGUAGAUGAAAUAGUCGGGGUGGACGACGUCGACGCUAGUGAUGAGCUAGCGUUGGACGGAAAUGAAGGGGAUGGACGGGCGGCACAACUCGGGUGAGCGAGCUACAUCAACGCCGAAGAAGAGAGGCGGUCGUGGCUUGACUGCGGCGGCCUAUGUUGGUUAGGAGCGCAGCGACAAUGCUUGAAGUAGACGAGGAAGAACCCGACAAUGUGACAAAGACUCGCACACACGAUGGUAUUCCCGUGCGGAGGGAGGAGGCGUGACGCAUACCACAAGAAGUCGAUGCGCGGGGGACUGAAUCUCCAACGUUUCUAUGAUUUUUGAUUUUUCCAUGCUAUAAUAUUAUAAUUUUAAGAUACUUUUUGGGCAUUUAUUUGCCAAUUCAUAUUAAUUUUGACCACUAACCUAUUAACCCAGUGACAAGUGCUAGUUGCUGUUUUCUGCAGGUUUUGGGCUUUUUAGGUUUACAGUACCAAACGGAGUCCGAAUAGAAUUGCAACUUUUGGACGAUUAUUUCUGUACAAAAAGAAGACCUCGAAGGUUCAGGAGAAGGCCAGAGGAGACACGAGGGCCCCACGAGCCAAUAGAGUGUGCCACGGGGGGUGGUCGUGCCCUCUUAGAUCAGCCCCCCGGUGUCUCUCCCGAACUCGUUCUCUGGUUGAUGAAUUCUCAUAUUCCCCCAAAACCCUAGUGGAGCUCCCGAAACACCUUUUUCGCUGUCGCAAGCCGCUGUUCCGCCGUGUGCCCAUAUGGAGCCGUGUUCCAAUGCCUUGCCGGAGAGGGGAUCGAUGACAGAGGGUCUUUACAUCAUGCUUGCUGCUCCCAUGGUGAUGUGUUAGUAGUCUACCAUAGAUCUCUCUAUUCUUCAAUACAAAGUUCACCGCAUCUUCGCGAUGAUCUAUUCGAUAUAAUCACUUUGUGUGGUGCGUUUGUUGGGAUCCGAUUAAUUGGGGAUUUAUGUUCAUAUUAUUCAUGAUAAAAGAUUUGAUUAUUGUUUGCAUGAUUAUUAUAGCUUCGUAAAUUUCUUAGAUCUAUUGAUUUGGUUUGGCCAAUUAGAUUAAUCUUUCUUCAGUGAGAGGGGUGCGUUGUGAUGUGUUCAAUCUGGUGGUGCUCUAUAUCCCAGUGAUAGAAAGGGACAAUACACGUCUUUGUAUUGUUGCCACUAAGGAUAAAACGAUGGGUUAAUUUGUAUUAAUUGGAUUCUCUUUUUCUACAUCAUGUCAUUGUUCUCUAAGCAUUCUCACAUUUUACUUCAUACUCUAGAUGCAUGUUGGAUAGCGGUCUAUAGGUGGAGUAAUAGUAAUAGGUGCAGGAAGGAUUCAGCCUAUUUGCUUAUGGACGUGAUGCCUAUAUGCACAUGAUUAUUGCCUUGAAUAAAUAUUGCACAACUAUACAAUUUCUAUCAAUUGCCCAAUAGUAAUUCGUUUAUCCAUCGUAUGCCUACUUUAAGAGAGAUGCCACUAGAGAACUCUAUGGCCCCGUGGUCUAUUCACUUAUAAAUUUACAAACGCUAUAAUUUCCUUGUUGUCUUUAUUUAUUUUUUACUUAUUUUGUAAUUUAGAUUUAUGAACAGACAUCUAGACACUUCAUUUGCUUGCAACUAACGAGUCCAAGGGCAUCGACAACCCUCUUGCCCGUGUUGGAUGCAAUUGUUUGGUUAUUUGUGUGCAGUCGCUGAAGAUGGGGGUUGCGUGCUACUCCUAUUGGGUCAAUAACUUUGUUCUCACCGAGGGAAAUACUUAUCUAUAUUGUAUUGCAUCAUCUGUUCAUCUUCACAGAAAACCCAACAUAGAUCACAAGUACCAGGGACGGCGGUGUGGACCGUGCGUCGUGGUGCUACUGCAUGAAGGGGCGACGAAACAAUAGUGCGCGGGUCGGGGCGACAGCAGGAAGACCUUGGGGGCGGCAGCAGGGACCGUGUUCCGCAGCAUGACGGCCCGACGUGGCGGCGUAGCAGCGAUGCGUGGGUCGGUGCAGCCUCAAGAACGACCUCGGGCGGCGGUGGGGAACGUGUGUUCCAGCACUACAACCCGAAAAGGCGGUGUAGUGGCGGCUCGUGGGUCGCGGGGACCGCUUUACAUGGCACUACGACCCGAAGGGGGCAUGUUAUGGCAAUGCGCGAGUCGGUGCAGCGAUAGGAAGAACCAUGAGGCUGCAGCGCUUCAGCCCCACGGGGCGACAUAGGAGCAGCCCAAUGCUCGAUCGAUGGAGGGGCGCGCAGUACUCGUAACAGUCUUCACAGGACUUGCAAAGGCGCGCACAACCGACAGGCUAGAUCGGUCGCACAAUAUAGAUGCGGCUGGUCGUGGGUGGGAGGAUGAUCAAUCCGAUCGCGUGCAAGGUCAGGGACAUCACUCAGUGGAGGUGAGGUGGCAGCAUCUGAGAUUAAGACGACGAUGAUGGUCGUGGCCAGAGCCGGUAGUCGGCCUGACGAGCCCGAUGUGGCAUGAGAGGGCGAGGACGACAUAGAUGACGCCCGCAUAACCAGAUGCGGUCGAACCGGUGAGCCUAGGGCAGCCGAAGCCGGUGAACCCGACAUCCACCGAUGGGGCGGACGAGGAGAAGGUUGGGCACUCGUACACACUAAAAGCACAUAUGCUCCCUUGGUGUUUUUGAUAAUUCAUGAGAACAUACAUUGUCUCUUGGACUAAUACUUAGUUCAGAUAUAGUCCACACAGAGGAUUGUCUAAGGAUUGUGAGGAGAAGCCCCAAGGAAGGAAAGGAAUAGGAUAGGCCAAACUUCAAGCUUCAAGACUCUACAUUAUGUAUUAUGUGAGAAAUCACACUUGAGUCCAUAGGAAAGCCAAUACUAUUAAAAGGGGAUGAGGUGACUAUGAUGAUCUGGUUGCUCAAGUGCUUAGAUUUAGCCACAAAAAAUACUCGUGAAUUCUCCCACAAAUAUUCUGUCCAAAAUCCUAAAUAUCCGUAAUUUGGUGCCACAAAUUUUUCAAUUAUGCCCUACCGAUUUUUACCUGAGACAGAUCCUAUGCCAAACCCUAGUUUCUCGGUGACACCAAGUCUUGUUUCGGUCAGACCGAGAAUCAUUGACUAACUCUCUGUCUACCUGUUUCUAGGAAUUGGAAUUUCCGAGUUUUGGGAAUUGGUGCUACCGAAUCUGGUAACUGUCGACGCUAGCCAAUAUUGGACCCACCAAGAUCUAUAUAUCGGUCUCACCGAAACGCCGAAAGUUGCCACAUUUUGCAAUAGUCGGUGCAACUAAGUUUUAAUUCGGUUUGACCGAGUUGGGCAAUAAUGUUGUUACUGUCGGAUUUUUGGAGAUGCCUAUAUAUACCCCUCCACUACGUCUCAUUCAUAGAGGAAGCACACAGAACAUACAAACACUUGCCCCAUCUAUUUUUCUGAGAGAGAGCCACCUAAUCAUGUGUUCAGAUCAAGAUAUUCCAAUCCUACCAUAUGAAUCUGUUGGAAAUAUGCCCNNNNNNNNNNNNNNNNNNNNNNNNNNNNNNNNNNNNNNNNNNNNNNNNNNNNNNNNNNNNNNNNNNNNNNNNNNNNNNNNNNNNNNNNNNNNNNNNNNNNCGGGUGUUCACCGGGGGGGGGGGGCAGCCCACCCCGGGAAGCCCAUAGGCCUUGGGGGUGGCGCACCAGCCUUUGGUGGGCUGGUGGGACAGCCCAAGAUGGCCCUAUGCGCCAUAGAUAGAAAAUCAAAGAGAAAAGAAAAAAAAGGAGGUGGGAAAGGAGAGAAGGACUCCACCUUCCAAUCCUAGUUGGACUAGGAUUGGAGGAGGACUCCUCCUCCCUUGGUGGCGCAGCCCUUGGGGCUCCUUGAGCCUCAAGGAAAGCCUCCCCUCCCCUCCUCCUAUAUAUAUGGAGCUAUUAGGGCUGAUUUGAGACAACUUUGCCACGGCAGCCCGACCACAUACCUCCACGGUUUUUCCUCUAUAUCGCGUUUCCGCGGAGCUCGGGCGGAGCCCUGCUUAGAUUAGAUCACCACCAACCUCCAGAGCGCCGUCACGCUGCCGGAGAACUCAUCUACCUCUCCGUCUCUCUUGCUGGAUCAAGAAGGCCGACAUCAUCAUCGAGCUGUACGUGUGCUGAACACGGAGGUGCCGUCCGUUCGGCACUAGAUCGUGGGACUGAUCGCGGGAUUGUUCGCGGGACGGUUCGUGGGACGGUUCGCGGGGCGGAUCGAGGGACGUGAGGACGUUCCACUACAUCAACUGCGUUUCUUAACGCUUCUGCUGUACGAUCUACAAGGGUACGUAGAUCGAAAAUCCCCUCUCGUAGAUGGACAUCACCAUGAUAGGUCUUCGUGCGCGUAGGAAAUUUUUUGUUUCCCAUGCUACGUUCCCCAACAGAAUCUUCAUUUCUAGCCUCCCCAAGUUUCUUUCUACCCAAUCAAACUCUUCUACCCAAACCAAAUCUGUGAGAGAGUGAUUGAGUGUCGAGGAGACUAUCUUUUGAAGGACGAGAGCAAGGAGUUCAUAAUACUACCACAUCCAUUACCUUUUGGAGAGUGGUGUCUGCUAGAUUGAUUAGGUGUCACUUGGGAUCCUCCUACUUCGCAUUGUGGAGUUGAACCAAAAAAAUUGUAAGGGGAAGGAGAUCACCUACUUCAUCAAGAUUUACCCCGGGUGAGGCUAGUCCUUCGUGGACGUAAGGCAUGGUGGAAUAGACUGUGUUUCUGCUUCGUGGACCACUUGUGCGUGGAGCACUCCAUGGACUCGCCCAACCGUUACCCUAUGUGGGUUGAAGUCUCCAUCAACAUGGACGUAUGAUAGCACCACCUAUCGGAACCAGGCCAAAAUAUUCAUGUCAAUAUUUGCGUUUGAUCUUCCUAAACUCUACUCCUUACUUUACAUGUGCAUAUCUUUACUUUCUGCUGCUACACUCGUAGACUUGCAUCUGUAGAGUGUGUUUGACUUUCUAUAAAUGGUAAAAUCUGCCAACCAUUAAAAUUGGGAAAGGCUAGGUUUUAUUUUGUCAAGUAGUCUAUUCACCCCCCCUCUAGACACCCCUUCUAGUGAACCCACGAUUGGUAUCAGAGCCUUGGGCUCCAUAGCCGUGGUUUAAUCACCAUUGGAGGAAGAUGGAUGUGUAUACUUUGGGGAAUCCUAGUUGUAGAGUGUCUAUUCUCAGUGGAGAGUACUAUAGUCAAUGGAAAAGUGAAAUGCUUGAUAUAUUUGAUGAAUUACAUUUUGAGUAAGUAUGUGGAAAACACCUAUGUGCCUCUCAUUGAUCCCUUACAUCCUUCUCAUGAGAAGAAGUUAAUAUGAUUUGUAAUCUUAAAACUGUUAAUCUUAUCAUUCUAAGAUUUCCAAGAAUUGUGCUUAACCAAAUGAAGAACUUUGAGUGUUCUUAUAGUUUGUCGAAAGAUUUGGAGAAAAGAUAUGCCGACUACUCCUUGAAAAAUCUUGAUAUCACUUUCCAAAAUUCUAUUGUCUUUCACAAAAUGAAGCCAAAUGAUCCAAACUGUCAUAAUCAUAUAUUUGAGCUUCAUGACCUCAUGCGUGCUAAAGGAGAUGUCAUUACCAUCAAUAACAUCAUUGUUGAAUCCAUUCGCAUUCAUAAACUUGAAGAUUGUUAUGCUCAAUAUUCUAAGCAAUCUCUUGAUUCUUGUGGCGAGGAUAUUCCAUUCGACAAUAACAAUGUGGAGCAUGGCUACUAUGAUGAAGACGAGAAGUUUGACAUCGAAUAUGAGAAGACCACGAGGAUCCUAAGUCUAGUGGCAAACCUUAGAGACUACACGGAAGGAGGAAACGAGUGGAUUCUCGACAGUGGGUGCACUAAUCACAUGAUCAGGGAUAGAGACACGUUUCAAGAGAUCACACCAAACCAUGGACCAGGAAGGUACGUGACUUUUGGAGACAACUCCAAGGUAAGUUACUUGGUCUUGGUAAGGUGGACAUAUUUCAUGAUAGUUCCAUUCAGAAUGUCAUGCUUGUUGAAUCUCUUGGCUACAAUCUUCUUUCCGUAUCUAGACUAGCGAACUUUGGUUUCAAUGUGCUAUUUACGAAAGUUGAUUGCCAAGUGUUUCAUGAAGAUAAUUAUAACAUGGUCUUUAACGGUUUUCGUAGAGGUGAUCCAUACAUUGUCGAUUUCACUAGAAAGUACAAACAUCGUACAUCUCUUAUUGCAAAAUCUUCUAAAGGUUGGUUAUGGCAUAGAAGGCUAGGACAUGUUGGAAUGCAUAAUCUAGACAAGCUUAUCAAAGGUGAUCAUAUUCUUGGUGUUAAAUAUGUUAUCUUGACAAAGAUAGACUUUGUAGUGCUUGUCAAGGAGGGACACAAGUUGGUGGAAGUCAUCCCGUGAAGAAUAUCAUGACUGCUAGAAGGCUCGAGCUACUGCACAUGGAUCUCUUUGGUCCCAAUGCUUACAAGAGCAUCCAUGGAAAUUCUUUUGGUCUAGUUAUAGUUGAUGAUUUUUCCAGAUUUAUGCGGGUAUUCUUUCUUGAUGAGAAGUCGCAGGUAUAAAAAAUAUUCAAGAACUUAGAUUGGAAAGCCCCAAAUCACUUUAAAGUGAAGAUCAAGAAAGUUCAGAGCGACAUCAGAUGGACUUUAAGAACACAAAUGCGGAUGCUUUACUUGAUGAAGAAGGCAUCUCACAUGCGUUCUCGGCGACAUACACACCUCAACAAAAUGGAGUUGUUGAGUGGAAGAACCGGACUCUCAUGGAGAUGGCUAGAACGAUGCUCGACGAAUACUAGAUGCCAAUACACUUUUGGGCAGAAGUCGCGAAAACAACUUGCCAUGCCACAAACUGACUCUACCUACACAAGCUUCUCGGUAAAAGGACAUACAAGCUACUUACCGGUAACAAACCCCAAGUUGGAUAUUUUUGGGUAUUUGACUCAAAGUGCUACAACAACUUCACUCAAACAGUUACGGAUAAAACUCUCAUACUUACCUGUCUACAACAACUUCACUCGAAUAAUUGAAUAGAUAGUAGAUGUGAAGUUUGAUGAAUCUAAUGGUUCGCAAGUCAAACAAUUGUCAAAUGAUGUAGGAGAUCAGGAACCUUCAGAAGCCAUUCAAGACCUAUCCAUCGGCAAGAUUCGUCCCAAGGAGGUGAAGGAUAGUACUUCAUCAACACACCUGGAAACUCCUACUUCGAGUCAAGACGAACCAGAAAAUGACAUGAAGGCAUCCACAAGCGGUACACGACAAGAAGAAGAGGAGGAAGAAGUACAUCAUGAUGAUCCACCUCAACCUUCUUCACCACCACCUUAAGGAGAAGACACCAUCAACGACAACGAAGAAUAAGACGGUGAUGAGGAAGCUCUACCAUCCAACAAGCAAAAGUUGUCAUGAGUUUGAGCACGAGUGAACAAGAAUCAUUCGCUAGAUCAAAUCUUCGGUGACAUACAAACCAGGAGAAUUACUCGCUAUAAAACUCGUUUAGUUAACUUUCAUGAGCAUUACUCAUUUAUCUCUAGCAUUGAUCCUAUGAAGGUAGACGAAGCACUUCAAGAACCGGAUUGGGUGAAUUCCAUGCACAAACACUACUAGGGAAAAGCUUACUAGUAGCACGGGUCUGUGGGCUAGCACUAGCACGGGUGCUCGCGCUACUACUAUGGCACUACAAGUAACUUUUCAGCAGUAGCGUGGUUCUUACCCAACGCUACUGCUACUUACACCUACGAGUAGCAUGCAUGUACGCAUCGCUACUGCUAAUUAUCUGUAGCGCGUCCUCGGGAACCAUGCUACUCAUAAGGCAGCACUUCUGGUACUCUAAUGCCCCACGCUGCUGCUAUGUUUUUCUUCUUUUUUAUUCUGUUGUAUUUGGAUUUUUACAGGUUUUAUACAAGUACAACAUACACAUACAUUGAAACUAUAUGAAAAAAGGAACAGUUAAUUAUCACAUGUUUCUUACAUUGUCACCGCACACACCUGUUUCAUUAUCUACCUAAAUUAUGACAUACGAGAGAAGAGCGAUCACGAUUAGCAACAACAGGAUUAUGUAGUAGUUUUUGCGGCGCCGGUUCUGAGUCCUUUGUUCCGCUAUGAAUAUCAAGUAACUAGCUUUAGCUUCCAUUCUGCUAUCAAACCCUUUCUUGCUUCCGCUCGGGAAGCGAUACACUUGGGCGUGACACUCUUGCCACUCAUCGUACACACCCGUAACAUGGCCUACAUACACGACAUACCACCUCGCCAUCGUUGAUCUAUAUACCUAUCACAGAUGCACAUAUAUCAUCAAGCGAAUUCAAUGAUAAUAUGCAGCAUAAGAUACGUCGGCGUGUGGAGAGAAACAUGUAUGAAAUAGAAGCAAUGUAUGGUAAACAUAGUUAACAAAAUUCACUGUACAGAAACUAAUUAACUAGAGCACGACACCGUUUACAUCUAAUAGUUUCGUCUUACUGAGAUAUUCAAAGUUUCAUUGUACAUAAAGUAACAACUAACUACAUAGACACAUUGUCUUCAUUAAGUGCACUCUAACCAUCUGUCCAUAUCCGGUAGGACGCAACCAAGCUUUGUGAAAGGCUUCAUGUCCUCACGCUAUAGGGCGAUUCGGGUUUGGACGUCAUCUCGUGAUAUUGGGCCGCCGUAGAACAUCCCAUUCUCUUCGAGGACAUCUUUCAUGAUGAUGGAGGAAAUUUCCUACUGGAUCAGGUAGAAAUCAUUUCGAAGUCGAUUAUCCGGCUAGGAUCCAAAGGCUUCGACCCAUUUCUGGAUAUGGGUAUCGGAUGAAGAUUUCAUGCAAAGUUAUUGCGCAUCCCUUUUGUACUCCAUCAUUAGAUGGAUGACAUAGAAUCCAUCAUUAUCACUUUUUGCUGGUCCUUGGAUGCAACAUCAGUUAGUCUUAUGGCCGAAACACAACCCGGCCUUAUUUGUUUUUUUACUUAGGUGUACCCACCCCGCAUGCUAAAGCCCAGGAGAGUUUUGUCCAGAACAUACUUUAUGUGUGCGUAAUCUUUCUUCUCUAUGUUCUUCCACGGUUCCAAAUAUAGAGCGCGGGAGAAAUCUGGUAAAGAACGAUGAGAACAACACGACACCCCCCCCCGCUGCGCAAAAUACACGAUCAAGUUGGCCUCCAUGCGUGCAAAGUAACUAUUGAAAUGCACGAAAGGAUGCAUGUGUUAUACUGGCUAUCCGCGGAUGACUUACCCGUGAUGAUAAGGUAGGAGAAUCGUUUCUUUGUCCUUAUUGACGAGCAAGAAUUCUUUGAUGUACUCCCUCGCAUAUCGACGGUUUGCUUCGUUGAUUUACAAGAAGUCCUCAUGCAUGUUGUAUGGGUCCGCAACCGCAAGACUAGUGGUUUUUUCUCUCCUCACGAUGUAGUUCAUGUGGAGCGCAUACAGGCGGACGAACGUAAAAUCGAGUGUCCCCAUUUGAAACAUCUGGAAGACGUAAUCAAAUCGCGGGAAGAAGAGCUUCGCGGGGCAUGUGUGUAUGCACAUGGCAAUGCUCGGCACAUGAACCGUAUAAAGUGGGUAUUCUCGAUCAUCCGAGGCGAGGAGGCUUCUCUCUGUCGACAACACAUGUUAAUGGAGUCUCGUGAGAUCCCCUGUUAUGGCAGCUAGCGCAUCCACUGGUACCAUGGGCUUUCCUGCGACAUGGAUCAAUGGCACAUGUUUCAUCGGCACACUGUCAACCCUAGUCUGUGGAGGCGGCUGGCUGCUAGAAGCAACAUUGGCAACUUUAUUGUAUUUUCCACGCGGUCUCUUCCUGCUUCUUCUUGGUUGGCUCAGGCGCUGGUGGGUUUGUCAGACUGUUAGGGCCAAUUUUUCUUGGAUUUUAAAUUCCCAUCAAAAUGACCCUUGUGCAUACCAGCACCAGAAAUACUGUUAGCUGGUGCAAAAUUCCUUGAUACAAAUAUCCAAGCAAAAUACAAAAUUUGAAGUACAAGACCAAGAUGGCCUAUGGUGUACAACAAAAAGGGGUUUCCAGAGGUUGAUGGCGGAAGCGGUUCUGGGAUCUCCAGCGUCUAUGGGACUCCAUUUCUCACAGGAACAACUGACCUGGAUAAUUCCUAUCUCAUGCGGCUGCUGUCUUCGGGGCCUAGGUUUCGGGACUGUCGUCGGGAUGCUCCUCUCCGAACACGCAAUCUGGCCAAGACAAUAGCCACGAGCAAGCCAGGGAGUACUUUGAAUGUACUUGCAAACAUCAUGAAAGCAAACAUAAAAUAGCAGGCGGUUAAUAUGCACUUGAAAUAAUUCAACGAUACUCCGUCAGUCAUAGUCCAACUUAUUUAGUGCAAGCACUACAAGAAAUAUGUUAAUACGUGAUGGUAGUAAUGCGCCACGGGUCAUGCGAAAACUGUCAUGGGUUGCCGUACAUGACAGAUUUGACAUCCGUCAUGUAUCACGCGUGACAAUUUCACAUCGGCCCGUACAUGACGGAUCUUGUCAGUCAAGGCUCCACCACAGGGCUUCCCAAGGCCCAAAUCUUCAUGACAGAACAAACCGUCAUGUAUCGACGCCACGUAGCAUUUCCAAUUAACUAACUAGAAUGACAUGGCGGCCUACGUGGACACUGAUUUUGUCAUAGAAAUCGUCAUGGAUAUUGGCAGAAUUGAAAUUUAGUUCAUCUCCCUAGCCUAUUUUAUUUAGCCCAGUUUUCAUGUACAUUUUUAAGAAUAAUGCAUUACACAAAUCGUAAUGCCAAUUUUGGCAAGAGAAGGUAUUAACUGUCAUACAUGCACAUAUGAAUCAAUAUAUUGUUAUCCGCACAUAUCUACAACAUAGCAGUUUACAAAAUCCUCUAUGAAAUGAUAAUUUACAACAUAUAUUAAUCAACAAAUUAGAAAACAACACAAUCUUUCACACAAACAAAACAUUUGAACUAUUCAACUUGUUUUCUUGCCAUCGGUCCUCGUGAUAGAAAUUAUCAUGUUGUGCUAAUUGUGAUGGGCAGCACCAAGUAUCCCGAUACGACAUCUUACCUAGCAUAUUUAAAUAAGAAAUAAAAGAAAAGAAACUUGUCAGACAAAGGGAUACAAUACAUACUGUUGUGCAGAAGAUUCAUUAAAUUAUUAUAUGUCGAGUUAUGAAGAUAAAUAAAUUAUCAUACAAUUAUAAUACAAGAUUCCUUCAAUUAUCAUACACACAAGAUCCAUUCAAUUAUCAUAUGUCCAAUGCACAAGAUAGCUAUGCGUUGAGAAACAAGGAGCUACUUCUACAGUUAUCUAGUAGUAUUAAGAAAUUGGAUAUACCCUCAAGAACAAUAUCCACAUAUUGUUGACACUUGACAAUUAACACUUAGAACAAAAAAGAUAUAUAGUGAAAAUAGAACCAACAGGCUAUGAAGGGGACAUUAAUGGAUCUAUGUAAGAAUAUGGACAUAAAUCUGGGUGUUGAGAAAUAUGCAUACAAAAUUUAGGGGUUAGUGCGCCUCUCUUUCAGCCCAUGGGCCCUCCGGAGCACGUGGACCCCCGCAACACUUCCGACAUCUCCGUCAAAAAACCGAUAAGUCCCAAAACUUUUCACGAACCCGAGUACCAACUUCCCAUAUAUGAACCUUCACCUCUGGACCAUUCAGAAACUCCUCGUCAUGUCCAGGAUCUCAUCUAGGACUCCGAACAAUCUUCGGUUACAAACAUACAUAACUCAACAAUAUUAUCUCAUCAUAGAACGUUAAGCGUGCGGACCCUGUGGGUUUGAGAACCAUGCACACAUCACCGAGACACCUCUACGGUCAAUAACAAAUAGCGAGACCUAGAUACUUAUAUUGGAUCCUACAUAUUCCACAAAAAACUUUAUCGGUCAAACCACAAUGCCAAUGAUUCAAUCAAUCCCGUAUGCAAUCCCCUUUGUUCAGCGGUAUGGUACUUGCCUGAGAUUUGAUCUUCGGUAUCUCCAUACCUAAUUCAAUCUCGUUAUCGGCAAGUCUAUUUACUCGUUUCAUAAUACAAGAUCCCGUGACUAACUCCUUAGUCACAAUUUCUUGCAAUAAUCUUGUGAUGCUGUAUUACCGAGAGGGCCCAGAGAUACCUCUCCAUCAUACAAAGUGGCAAAUCCGAGUCUUGAUUCAUGAAUACCUAACAGACACCCUCGAUGAUACCUGUAGAGCAUCUUUAUGAUCAUCCAGUUACGUUGUGACGUUUGAUACACAAGGAACUCCUCGGUGUCCAGGCCGGAGUUGCAUGCUCUCAUGGUCUUAGGAACAAAUACUUGACAUGUAGAAAGCAAUAGCAAUAAACUUAGUGAUAGGAUCAAAUGAUACGCUUACGGUUGGGUAUUUGUCCAUCACAUCGUUCUCUUACUAAGUUGUCCUACUCGACAUAUUCACUAGUGUGUUUGCAAAAUCAUGUGGUAUGUUAUGCUAUGCAUCCACUUCCCAUGAUUUAUUGGCUAACAUAAUUAUUAAUACUUUAUGGAGCCUAAAAAAUGGUACUAUGGUGAGAAGUAGCAAUUUGCCGCACAGAGCGGCUGAUAGACCUCCAGUCGGUCGCUGGUUCAUCUGGGUCAUGCGGCCACUGUAUUGGGCCUAAUUUAAGCCGACGACUUGCGGCGCACGCCGGCCGAACGCCACGAACGGCAUAUGCAUCGCUCCAAGUCUCCAAGAUGAGGCUUUGCUAUCUGAGUAGUACACGCAGUGCUUGACAUGCGCGCAUAUCCCUGUUUGAGUCCGACUCCACCUCAGCGACCUUCCCUGGAUAUAAGCCUAGGGCUGGCCCCUUCAGGUCACUCAGAAGUCACGAGCUGCAAAUCGCAACACCAUCGCCGAGCCCUCGUCUCGUUCCUCUGCAACCAUCAGCACGCCUGCUCUCAUGGCACAGUGCUCUUCCUCAGCGUUGCACGACUAGAUCCCGUCUUGAUCUCGAGCGCCGUAGGAAGGUCGUCAGUGCAGCGAGGGAGAGAGUUGCAAGGAAGUCCUUCCCGUCGUCUUUGUCGUUGCCACGCCAAUCGGUGAUGAUCUCUUCCAUGUCCAACGGCACUGCCGCCAUGAAUCGGCCCAAAGAUAUGAAGGAAGAGGUAGCAAACAAGCGCUCUGCUCCGACGCGGCCCCAGCCACAGCCGCACCAGCCCGCGACAACCAAUGCUGCCGGCAGGAAGAUCUACUACUUGGACCUGGGAGAAGCUCCGACGAGGCGACCGGUUCCGCGGACGAUGAGGAUCUUGACCUCGUCCACCGUGAAAGUUUCCGGCGUAGUGAGAGGGAGAGUUCCCGAGAAGUCCUCCGCCCCUCCGCCACCGUGCUGAUCCGCGUUGAUCCCUGCCAUCUCAAACGGCACCGCCGCCGUCAACCCGGCAAAUGCUGCGAAGGAAGAGGUUGGAAGGAAACGCUCUGCUCCACCGCCGCCGCCGCCGCGCCAAUCCGCGCUCGUCCCGCUCGCGACGAUCAAUGCUGCCGGCAAGAAGAUUGCUUACAAGGAGCUGAGAGAAGCUAAGAGGAGAUGCACUGCCUCGCCGCGUUGAUCCCCACCGCACCGAUCCUCACAGAUCCCGACCACCUCCACCGUGAAGGUUUCAAGCGAGAUUAGCAUGUAUGAUGAAUUGCAUUAGGUUGAACCCGUGCUAGCUACAUUCAUAAGGCUAGUACUUCUAUAUGAGUACUGAACUAGAGAAAAAUAGUAUUUUUUUCUAAUAGAUAAGCUACUUUGGAUGUUGACAACUGAACAAAUAAUAAUUUAUCCUAUAUUUUUUAAUAAUCACGUUACUCAACACCCCUCCCUCGUCACAACGAUAACGACGCAGACGGUAAGACUCGAGAAUAAUGCGAAGCUAAGCGGAUGGUCAUCCCCCACAGUCGUAACGGUCGAUGCAUCACGGAAGUUGUGGCUGGAGUGAAAAAUCGACGAGGUUGCUCAAGCAAGGAGGCCCUUUGUCCUGAUGUCGAGGUAGCCGAGAGAGUAGGAUGGUGUAGCCUUAGUCAAGGUAGCCAUGCGAAGAACGCGGUGAUCGAUGUCGAGGAAGUCGUUGUGGAGCCGCGGACGCAUGGAGCCACCGAGUUAGUCAUGAACACAAUGGUGUUGAAGUAAUGGUGAGCCGGAAUGAAGACGUAGUUGAUGACACGUCGCGGUGGGUUUGCCAAGAUCGGGGACACUUCAUGGACAAGGCACACAUCGGUGUUUCCAGCACCGGGCAUGUGUAGACGGAUGAAGGCGAUGUUGACGAUGCAUCAUUCCAGUUUUGCCACCGGGGACAAACGCACGCGUUGGUGUUGUCAGCGCCAGGCAUGCUUAUAUGGGGACUUGCACAAACUGGUACACCAUGUAGAGAAGGCUAGAAGAGAAGGACUCGUCGACGAUUGCGUCGCAAAUCGGAGAGGGACUUGCACAAACUGGUACACCAUAGGGUGGUGUAGCCUUAGUCGAGGUAGCCAUGCAAAGAAUACGGUGAUCGAUGUCGAGGAAGUUGUCGUGGAUCCGCGGGCGCAAGGAGGCGCCGAGUUAGUCAUGAGCACAAUGGUGUUGAAGUAGCGGUGAGCCGGAAUGAAGACGUAGUUGACGACGCGACGCGGUGGGUUUGCCACGACCGGGGACACUUCGUGGACAAGGCAGACAUCGGUAUUUCCAGCACCGGGCAUGUGUAGACGGAUGAAGGUGAUGUUGACAAUGCGUCGUUCUAGUUUUGCCAGGACUGAGAACGCACUCGGACAAAGGCACACAUUGGUUUCGUCAGCACCGGGCAUGCAUAGAUGGGUACUUGCACAAACUGGUACACCAUGUUGAGAAGCCUAGGAGAGAAGGACUCGUCGAUGAUUGUGGCGCAAAUCGACGAGGGUGGCGAUGUCGCCUGCGGUGGUCGGAGUAGAUGAAGUGGUCAGGGUAGACAACAUCGACGCUAGCGGUGAGCUAGCGUUGGAUGGAAAUGAAGGGGGUGGACGGGCGGCGCGACUCGGAUGAGCGAGCUGCAGCAACACCGAAGAAGAGAGGCGGUUGUGGCUUGACUGUGGCGUCCGCGGUUGGUUAAGAGCGCGGCGACAAUGCUCGAAGUAGACGAGGAAGAACCCGGCAAUGUGAUGAAGACUCGCACAGACAAUGGCAUUCCCGAGCUGAGGGAGGAGGCGUGACGCAUACCACAAGAAGUCGACGCUCGCGGGACUGAUACAUCUCCAACGUUUCUAUAAUUUUUGAUUGUUCCAUGCUAUAACAUUAUAAUUUUAAGAUACUUUUUGGGCAUUUAUUUGCCAAUUCAUAUUAUUUUUUAGCACUAACCUAUUAACCGAGUGAAAAGUGUUAGUUGCUGUUUUCUAUAGCUUUUUGGCUUUUCAGGUUUACAGUACCAAACGGAGUCCGAAUAGCACGCAACUUUUGGACUAUUUUUUCUGUACCAAAAGAGGACCUGGAAGGUUCGGGAGAAGGCCGACGGCCACACAAGGGCCCCACGAGCCAAUAGGGUGUGCCCAGGGGGUGGUCGCGCCCUGUUAGAUCAUCCCCCUGGCUCUCCCGAUCUCGUUCUUUGGCUUAUGAAUUCUCAUAUUCCCCAAACCCCUAGUGGAGCUCCCGAAACACCUAUUUUGCUGCCGCAAUUCUUUGUUCCGUCGUGUGCCCAUAUGGAGUCGUGUUUCGAUGCCUUGCCGGAGAGGGGAUCGAUGACGGAGGGCCUCUACAUCAUGCUUGUUGCUCCCAUGGUGAUGUGUGAGUAGUUUACCAUAGAUCUAGGGUCCAUAACUAGUAUCUAGAUGACUCUCUCUCUAUUCUUCAAUACAAAGUUCAUCGCAUCUUCACGAUGAUAGAUUAGAUGUAAUCACUUUGUGCGGUGCGUUUGUUGGGAUCCGAUUAAUUUGGGAUUUAUGGUCAUAUUAUUGAUGACAAAAUAUUUGAUUCUUAUUUGCAUGAUUAUUAUAGCUUUGUAAAACUCUCCGAUCUAUUGAUCUGGUUUCGCCAAUUAGAUUAAUCUUUCUUCAGUGAGAGGGGUGCAUUGUGGUGGGUUCAACCUGGUGGUGCUCUAUAUCCCAGUGAUAGAAAGGGACAAGACACGUCUUUGUAUUGUUGCUACUAAGGAUAAAAUGAUGGGAUUAAUUUGUAUUAAUUGGAUUCUCUUUGUCUACAUCAUGUCAUUGUUCUCUAAGCAUUACCCUGUUUUACUUAAUACUCUAGAUGCAUGCUGGAUAAUGGUCUAUAGGUGGAGUAAUAGUAAUAGGUGUAGGAAGAAUUCAGCCUAUUUUCUGAUGGACGUGAUGCCUAUACACACAUGAUUAUUGCCAUGAAUAAAUAUUGCAGAACUAUUCGCUUUUCUAUCAAUUGCCCAAUAGUAAUUUGUUUAUCCAUCGUAUGCCUACUUCGAGAGAGAUGCCACUAGAGAAUUAUAUGGCCCCCAGGUCUAUUCACUUAUAAAUUUACAAAUGCUACAAUACCCUUGCUGUCUUUAUAUAUAUUUUUUUACUUAUUUUGCAAUUUAGAUUUAUCAACACUCAUCUACACACUUCAUUUGCUUGCAACUAACAAGUCCAAGGGGAUCAACAACCCUCUUGCCCACGUUGGGUGCAAUUGUUUGGUUCUUUGUGUGCAGUCGCUGAAGAUGGGGGUUGCGUGCUACUCCUAUUGGUUCAAUAACCUUCAUUCUCACUAAGGGGAAUAUUAUCUAUAUUGUAUUGCAUGAUCCGUUCCUCUUCACAGAAAACCCAACAUAGAUCACAAGUAUCAGGGACGGUGGAGUGCACCAUGCACUGUGGUGCUACUGCAUGAAGGGGCGACAAAACAAUAGCUCGCGGGCCGGGGCGACUGCAGGAAGACCUUGGGGCGGUCAUACGUCUCCAUCGUAUCUACUUUUCCAACUUUUGCCCUUGUUUUGGACUCUAAUUUGCAUGAUUUGAAUGGAACUAACCUGGACUCACGCUGUUUUCAACAGAAUUGCCUUGGUGUUAUUUUUGUGCAGAAAUCAAAGUUCUCCAAACGUCCUAAAAAUUUACGGGGAGCAGAUUUGGAAAAUAUGAAAAAUAUCUGCGCCAAGUUCCAGCAGAGGGGGUGGGCCAGUGGGCCACAAGCCCUGGAUCCACCACCACCCCCUGGUAGCGGUGGGCAGGCUUGUGGGGCCUAGACGGCUCUGCCGCCCCAACCUCAGGUCUAUAAGUUCACUUUCGUCCCAGAAAAAAUAAAAAGAGAAGUUUUCGUCGUGUUUGCGAUACGGAGCCGCUGCCACCACCUGUUCUUCAUCUGGAGGGCAGAUCUGGAGUCCGUCUUGGGCUCCGGAGAGGGGAAAUCAUCGCCAUCGUCAUCAUCAACCUUCUUCCCUCUUCAAUUCCAUGAAGCUCUUCGUCGUUCGUGUUGGGAAACGUCGCAUGGGAAACAAAAAUUUUCCUACGCACACGAAGACCUAUCAUGGUGAUGUCUAUCUACGAGAGGGGAUGAGUGAUCUACAUACCCUUGUAGACCGUACAGCAGAAGCGUUAGAGAAUGCGGUUGAUGUAGUGGAACGUCCUCACGUCCCUCGAUCCGCCCCGCGAACAAUCCCGCGAUCAGUCCCACGAUCUAGUACCGAACGGACGGCACCUCCGCGUUCAGCACACGUACAGCUCGACGAUGAUCUCGCCUUCUUGAUCCAGCAAGAGAGACGGAGAGGUAGAAGAGUUCUCCGGCAGCGUGACGGCGCUCCAGAGGUUGGUGAUGACCUNNNNNNNNNNNNNNNNNNNNNNNNNNNNNNNNNNNNNNNNNNNNNNNNNNNNNNNNNNNNNNNNNNNNNNNNNNNNNNNNNNNNNNNNNNNNNNNNNNNNNNNNNNNNNNNNNNNNNNNNNNNNNNNNNNNNNNNNNNNNNNNNNNNNNNNNNNNNNNNNNNNNNNNNNNNNNNNNNNNNNNNNNNNNNNNNNNNNNNNNNNNNNNNNNNNNNNNNNNNNNNNNNNNNNNNNNNNNNNNNNNNNNNNNNNNNNNNNNNNNNNNNNNNNNNNNNNNNNNNNNNNNNNNNNNNNNNNUCAAGGGGGUCGGCCGAGCCAAGGGGGAGGACUCUCCCCCCCCAAACCGAGUUGGACUAGGUUUGGUGGGAGGGAGUCCUCCUCCCUUCCCACCUCCUCCCUUUUUUUUCUUUUCCUCUUGAUUUUUNNNNNNNNNNNNNNNNNNNNNNNNNNNNNNNNNNNNNNNNNNNNNNNNNNNNNNNNNNNNNNNNNNNNNNNNNNNNNNNNNNNNNNNNNNNNNNNNNNNNAAAAAUCAAGAGGAAAAUAAAAAAAAGGGAGGAGGUGGGAAGGGAGGAGGACUCCCUCCCACCAAACCUAGUCCAACUCGGUUUGGGGGGGAGAGUCCUCCCCCUUGGUUCGGCCGACCCCCUUGANNNNNNNNNNNNNNNNNNNNNNNNNNNNNNNNNNNNNNNNNNNNNNNNNNNNNNNNNNNNNNNNNNNNNNNNNNNNNNNNNNNNNNNNNNNNNNNNNNNNNNNNNNNNNNNNNNNNNNNNNNNNNNNNNNNNNNNNNNNNNNNNNNNNNNNNNNNNNNNNNNNNNNNNNNNNNNNNNNNNNNNNNNNNNNNNNNNNNNNNNNNNNNNNNNNNNNNNNNNNNNNNNNNNNNNNNNNNNNNNNNNNNNNNNNNNNNNNNNNNNNNNNNNNNNNNNNNNNNNNNNNNNNNNNNNNNNNNNNNNNNNNNNNNNNNNNNNNNNNNNNNNNNNNNNNNNNNNNNNNNNNNNNNNNNNNNNNNNNNNNNNNNNNNNNNNNNNNNNNNNNNNNNNNNNNNNNNNNNNNNNNNNNNNNNNNNNNNNNNNNNNNNNNNNNNNNNNNNNNNNNNNNNNNNNNNNNNNNNNNNNNNNNNNNNNNNNNNNNCGCGGGGCGGAUCGAGGAACGUGAGGACGUUCCACUACAUCAACCGCGUUCUCUAACGCUUCUGUUGUACGGUCUACAAGGGUAUGUAGAUCACUCAUCCCCUCUCGUAGAUGGACAUCACCAUGAUAGGUCUUCGUGCGCGUAGGAAAAAUUUUGUUUCCCAUGCGACGUUUCCCAACAGUGGUAUCAGAGCUAGGUUCAUGCGUAGAUGUCUUCUCGAGUAGAACACAANNNNNNNNNNNNNNNNNNNNNNNNNNNNNNNNNNNNNNNNNNNNNNNNNNNNNNNNNNNNNNNNNNNNNNNNNNNNNNNNNNNNNNNNNNNNNNNNNNNNNNNNNNNNNNNNNNNNNNNNNNNNNNNNNNNNNNUUUUGUGGGCGGUGAUGUGCGUUUUGCUGCCCUCCUUAGUCUUUUCUUGAUUCCGCGGUAUUGUUGGAUUGAAGCGGCUUGGACCGACAUUACUCGUACGCUUACGAGAGACUGGUUUCAUCGUUACGAGUAACCCCCUUUGCUCAAAGAUGACUGGCAAGUGACGGUUUCUCCAACUUUANNNNNNNNNNNNNNNNNNNNNNNNNNNNNNNNNNNNNNNNNNNNNNNNNNNNNNNNNNNNNNNNNNNNNNNNNNNNNNNNNNNNNNNNNNNNNNNNNNNNNNNNNNNNNNNNNNNNNNNNNNNNNNNNNNNNNNNNNNNNNNNNNNNNNAACAACAAAAUUAGAGGGCGUCUAACUUGUUUUUGCAGGGUAUGAUUGUGAUGUGAUAUGGCCAACGAUGUGAUGUGAUAUAUUGGAUGUAUGAGAUGAUCAUGUUGUAAUAGAAAUAUCGACUUGCACGUCGAUGGUACGACAACCGGCAGGAGCCAUAGGGUUGUCUUUAUACUAACGUUUGUGCUUGNNNNNNNNNNNNNNNNNNNNNNNNNNNNNNNNNNNNNNNNNNNNNNNNNNNNNNNNNNNNNNNNNNNNNNNNNNNNNNNNNNNNNNNNNNNNNNNNNNNNGAUCACCACCAACCUCCGGAGCGCCGUCACGCUGCCGGAGAACUCAUCUACCUCUCCGUCUCUAUUGCUGGAUCAAGAAGGCCGAGAUCAUCGUCGAGCUGUACGUGUGCUGAACACGGAGGUGCCGUCCGUUCGGCACUAGAUCGUGGGACUGAUCGCGGGAUUGUUCGCGGGACGGUUCGUGGGACGGUUCGCGGGGCGGAUCGAGGGACGUGAGGACGUUCCACUACAUCAACUGCGUUUCUUAACGCUUCUGCUGUACGAUCUACAAGGGUACGUAGAUCGAAAAUCCCCUCUCGUAGAUGGACAUCACCAUGAUAGGUCUUCGUGCGCGUAGGAAAUUUUUUGUUUCCCAUGCUACGUUCCCCAACAGUGGCAUCAUGAGCUAGGUUCAUGCGUAGAUGUAAUCUCGAGUAGAACACAAAAGUUUUUGUGGGCGGUGAUGUGCGUUUUGCUGCCCUCCUUAGUCUUUUCUUGAUUCCGCGGUAUUGUUGGAUCGAAGCGGCUCGGACCGACAUUACUCGUACGCUUACGAGAGACUGGUUUCAUCGCUACGAGUAACUCCGUUGCUCAAAGAUGACCGGCGAGUGUCGGUUUCUCCAACUUUANNNNNNNNNNNNNNNNNNNNNNNNNNNNNNNNNNNNNNNNNNNNNNNNNNNNNNNNNNNNNNNNNNNNNNNNNNNNNNNNNGAUCCUACUAGAUACCCAUGGUCACCACGUAAAACAUGCAACAACAAUUAGAGGACGUCUAACUUGUUUUUGCAGGGUAUGCUUGUGAUGUGAUAUGGCCAACGAUGUGAUGUGAUAUAUUGGAUGUAUGAGAUGAUCAUGUUGUAAUAGUUAAUAUCGACUUGCACGUCGAUGGUACGGCAACCGGCAGGAGCCAUAGGGUUGUCUUUAAACUAACGUUUGUGCUUGNNNNNNNNNNNNNNNNNNNNNNNNNNNNNNNNNNNNNNNNNNNNNNNNNNNNNNNNNNNNNNNNNNNNNNNNNNNNNNNNNNNNNNNNNNNNNNNNNNNNNNNNNNNNNNNNNNNNNNNNNNNNNNNNNNNNNNNUUUGUGCUUGCAGAUGCAUUUACUAUAUUGCUAGGACGUAGCUUUAGUAGUAAUAGCAUGAGUAGCACGACAACCCCGAUGGAGACACGUUGAUGGAGAUCAUGAUGAUGGAGAUCAUGGUGUGACGCCGGUGACAAGAAGAUCGUGCCGGUGCUUUAGUGAUGGAGAUCAAGAAGCGCAUGAUGAUGGCCAUAUCAUGUCACUUAUGAAUUGCAUGUGAUGUUAAUCCUUUAUGCACCUUAUCUUGCUUAGAACGACGGUAGCAUUAUGAGGUGAUCUCUCACUAAAAUUUCAAGACGAAAUUGUGUUCUCCCCGACUGUGCACCGUUGCGACAGUUCUUCGUUUCGAGACACCACGUGAUGAUCGGGUGUGAUAGACUCAACGUUCACAUACAACGGGUGCAAAACAGUUGCACACACGGAACAAUCGGGUUAAGCUUGACGAGCCUAGCAUGUACAGACAUGGCCUCGGAACACAUGAGACCGAAAGGUCGAGCAUGAAUCGUAUAGUUGAUAUGAUUAGCAUAGAGAUGCUUACCACUGAAACUAUUCUCGACUCACGUGAUGAUCGGACUUGAGAUAGUGGAUUUGGAUCAUGUACCACUUAAAUGACUAGAGAGAUGUACUUUUUGAGUGGGAGUUCUUAAGUAAUAUGAUUAAUUGAGCUAAUUGUCUUGAACAUAGUCGAACGGUCUUUGCGAAUUACGAUGUAGCUUGCGCUAUAGCUCUAUUGUUUUUAUAUGUUCCUAGAGAAAAUUUAGUUGAAAGUUGAUAGUAGCAAACUUUGCAGAGGAUUGUCCUUGUUGCUGCGCAGAAGGCUUAUGUCCUUAAUGCACCACUCGGUGUGCUCCACCUCGAGCGUCGUCUGUAGAUGUUGUGAACAUCCGACAUACACGUUUCUGAUGACUACACGAUAGUUCAAUACAAAAUACUUAAUGGCUUAGAAGCAAGGCGCCGAAGACGUUUUGAAACGUCACGGAACAUGAAAGAUGUUCUAAAGAGAUGAAAUUGUGAUUUCAUGCUUGUGCCCUUGUUAAGAGGUACGAGACCUCCGACAAGAUUCUUUGUCCACAAAGUAAAGGAGAAAAGCUCAAUCAUUGAGCGUGUGCUUAGAUUGUCUGAGUACGACAAUCGCUUGAAUCAAGUGGGAGUUAAUCUUCUAGAUGAGAUAGUGAUGGUUCUCCAAAGUCACUGCCACCAAGCUGUGAGAGCUUUGUGAUGAACUAUAACAUAUCAAGGAUAGAUACAAUGAUCCUUGAGCGAUUCGUGAUGUUUGACACUGCGAAAGUAGAAAUCAAGAAGGAGCAUCAAUAGUUGAUGGUUAGUAGAACCACUAAGUUUCAAGAAAGGCAAGGGCAAGAAGGGAUACUUCGUGAAACGGCAAAAUAGUUGCUGCACUAAUGAAGAGACCCAAGAUUAAACCCAAACCCGAGACUAAGUGCUUCUGUAAUGAGGGGAACAGUCACUGAGGCGGAGCAACUCUAGAUACUUGGUAGAUAAGAAGGCUGGCAAAAGUCGAAAGAAGUAUAUUUGAUAUACAUGAUGUUGAUGUGUACUUUACUAGUACUCCUAGUAGCAUGAGGGUAUUGGAUACCAGUUCGGUUGCUAAGUGAUUAGUAACACGAAAUGAAAGCUACGGCAUAAACGGAGACUAGCUAAAGGCGAGGUGACGAUACGUGUUGGAAGUGUUUCCAAGGUUGAUAUGAUCAAACGUCGCACACUCCCUCUACCAUCGGUAUUGGUGUUAAACCUGAAUAAUUGUUAUUUGGUGCUUGCGUUAAAGCAUGAACAUGAUUGGAUCGUGUUUAUUGCAAUACGAUUAUUCAUUUAAAGAGAAUAAUGGUUACUCUAUUUGCUUGAAUAAUCACCUUCAAUGGUUUAUUGAAUCUCGAUUGUAGUGUUACACAUGUUCAUGAUAUUGGUGCCAAAAGAUACGAGGUAAUGAUGAUAGUACCACUUACUUGUGGCACUGCCGCUUGAGUCAUGUUGGUAUAAAUUGCAUGAAGAGGCUCCAUGCUGAUGGAUCUUUAUACUCACUUGAUUUUGAAUCACUAGUGACAUGCAAAUCAUACCACAUGAGCAAGGCCUUGUUUUCAUUGAGAUGAAACAAGAUAGUAACUUGUUGGAAGUGAUACAUUUUGAUGUAUGCAGUCCAAUGGGUGCUGAGGCACGUAGUGGAUAUCAUUAUGUUCUUACUUCAAUGAAGAUUUGAGUAGAUACAAGAGUAUUUACUUAAUGAAUCACAAGUCUGAAAUAUUGAAAAGUUCAAUUCUGUUUCGGAGUGAAGUUCGUCGUAACAAAAGGAUAAACUGUCUACGAUAUGAUCAUAGAAAUGAAUAUCUGAGUUACGAGUUUUUGUACGCAGUUAAGACAAUGUGGAAAUUGUUUCGCAGUUCAUGCCACCUGGAAUAUCAUAGUGUGAUGAUGUGUCUGAACGUCAUAGCCACGCACUAUUUGGUAUGGUGCAUGCUAUGAUGUCUCUUAUCGAAUUACCACUAUCGUUUAUGGGUUAUGCAGACAACCGCAUUCACUUUAAAAUAGGGCACCGCGUAUUUCCGUUGAGAUGACACAGUAUAGACUAAGGUUUAGAGAAAUCUAAACUAUCGUUUCUUGAAAGUUUGGGGCUUCGACACUUAUGUGAAAAAGUUUCAGUAUGAUAAGCUCGAACCCAAAGCGGAUAAAUGCAUCUUCAUAGGAUAUCCAAAACAGUUGGGUACAUCUCCUAUCUCAGAUCCGAAAGCAAAGUGUUUGUUUGUAGAAACGGAUCCUUUCUCGAGGAAAGGUUUCUCUCGAAAGAAUUGAGUGGGAGGGUGGUAGAACUUGAUGAGGUUAUUGAACCAUCACUUCAACCAGUGUGUAGCAGGGCGCAUGAAGUUGUUCCUGUGGUGCCUACAGCAAUUGAAGUGAACGCUGAUAAUGGUGAUCAUCGAGCAUCGGAUCAAGUUACUACAAACCUUGUAGGUUGACAAGGUCGCGUACUACUGCAGAGUGGUACGGUAACCCUGUCUUGGAGGUCAUGUUGUUGAGCAACAGUGAACCUACGAGUUAUGGAGAAACCAAUGGUGGGCCCGGAUUCCAACAAAUGGCUGGAGGCCAUGAAAUCCGAGAGAGGAUCCAUGUAUGAAAACAAAGUGUAGACUUUGGAAGAACUACUUGAUGGUCAUAGGACUAUUGAGUAAAGAUGGAUCUUUAAAAGGAAGACAGACGACGAUGGUGAUAAGUCACUAUUAAGAAAAGCUCGACUUGUCGCAAAGAUGUUUCCGACAUGAUCAAACAGUUGACUAUGGUGAGACUUUCUCACUCGUAGUGAUGCUAAAAGUCUGUUAGAAUUAUGUUAGUAGUUGUUGCAUUAUUUUUGAAAUAUUGCACAUAGGAUGUCAAAACAUUGUUUCCUCGACGGUUUCCUUGAGAAAACAUUGUAUGUGAUACAACCAAAAGGUUUUGUCGAUCCUAAAGAUACUAACAAGUAUGCAAGCUCCAGCGAUCCUUCAAUGGACUGGUGCAAGCAUCUCGGAGUUGGAAUAUACACUUUGAUGAGAUGAUCAAAGAUUUUGGGUUUGUACAAGGUUUAUGAGAAACUUGUAUUUCCAAAGAAGUGAGUGGGAGCACUAUAGAAUUUCUGAUAAGUAUAUGUGGUUGACAUAUUGUGGAUCAGAAGUAAUGUAGAAUUUCUGUAAAGCAUACAAGGUUGUUUGAAAGGAGUUUUCAAAGGAAAAACCUGGAUUGCGCUACUUGAAUUUUGAGCACCAAAGAUCUAUGGAGAUAGAUCGAAAGCGCUUGAUAGAAGUUUCAACAAGAUGCAUGCCUUGACAAGUUUUUGAAGGAGUUCAAAAUAGAUCAGCAAAGAAGGAGUUCUUGGUUGCGUUGUAAGGUGUGAAUUUGAGUAAGACUCAACACCCGACCCCGGCAGAAUAAAGAGAAUAGACGAAGGUCGUCUUCUAUGCCUUGGCCGUACAAUCUGAAGUAUGCCAUGCUGGGUACCGCACCUGAUGUGUGCAUUUACUCAAAGUCUGUUGAGAGGUACAGAGAGUGAUCCAUGAUUGAAUCACUAGCAGCGGUCAAAAUUUAUCCUUAGUAACUGAUGGACUAAGGAAUUUUUCUCGAUUAUGGAGGUGGUUAAAAAGUUCGUCGUAAAGGGUUACGUCGAUGCAAGCUUUGACACUAAUCCGAAUAACUAUGAGUAGUGAAACGGAUUCAUAUAGUAGAGUAGAUAUUUGGAGUAUUUCCGAAUAGCACAUAGUAGCAGCAUCUAUAAGAUGACAUAAAGAUUUGUAAAGAACACACGGAUCUGAAAGUUUCACAACCGUUGACUAAAACCUCUCUCACGAGGAAGACGUGAUCAGACCCCAUAAAUAUAUGGGUGUUGGAUUCGUUGAAAUCACAUGGUGAUGUGAACUAGAUUAUUGACUCUAGUGCAAGUGGGAGACUGUNNNNNNNNNNNNNNNNNNNNNNNNNNNNNNNNNNNNNNNNNNNNNNNNNNNNNNNNNNNNNNNNNNNNNNNNNNNNNNNNNNNNNNNNNNNNNNNNNNNNCUCCUCUUCUUGGAGCUAAAUUAGCUAACUAUGUCUUUUUGCAGCUAAAUGGGCUAAUUAUGUCAUUCUAGAGGAAAACAAGCUAAGUAUAUAAUAUUAAUGAGCUAACCAAGGUUCUUAUGCCAUUUUGAGCUUAUUAUGUCUUUUAGGAGCUUAAUUAGUCAUUUUAUUGAGCUAACCAAGGUUCUUAUGAUGUUUUUACCUAACUAAGCUAAUUAUGUCAUUUUGGAAGAUAAUUGGCUAAGUAUGUCUUUGUUGGGGGAAAAUAAGCUCUGUCUCUUAUACACAUCUCCGAGCCCACGAGACGAUGCGAACAUCUCGUAUGCCGUCUUCUGCUUGAAAAAAAAAAGANNNNNNNNNNNNNNNNNNNNNNNNNNNUCCUUCUCCUUCUCUUCUCUUUCUCUUCUUCUUUUUGUUCUUCCUUUUCAUUUCUCCUCUUCUCCUCUUCUUGGAGCUAAAUUAGCUAACUAUGUCUUUUUGGAGCUAAAUGGGCUAAUUAUGUCAUUAUAGAGGAAAACAAGCUAAGUAUAUAAUAUUAAUGAGCUAACCAAGGUUCUUAUGCCAUUUUGAGGUUAUUNNNNNNNNNNNNNNNNNNNNNNNNNNNNNNNNNNNNNNNNNNNNNNNNNNNNNNNNNNNNNNNNNNNNNNNNNNNNNNNNNNNNNNNNNNNNNNNNNNNNACGGAGUGACAAAUCCCAGUCUUGAUCCAUACUAACUCAACUAACACCUUCAGAGAUACCUGUAGAGCAUCUUUAUAGUCACCCAGUUACGUUGCGACGUUUGAUACACACAAAGCAUUCCUCCGGUGUCAGUGAGUUAUAUGAUCUCAUGGUCAUAGGAAUAAAUACUUGACACACAGAAAACAGUAGCAACAAAAUGACACGAUCAACAUGCUACGUCUAUUAGUUUGGGUCUAGUCCAUCACGUGAUUCUCCCAAUGACGUGAUCCAGUUAUCAAGCAACAACACCUUGUUCAUAAUCAGAAGACACUGACUAUCAUCGAUCAACUGGCUAGCCAACUAGAGGCAUGCUAGGGACGGUGUUUUGUCUAUGUAUCCACACAUGUAAAUGAGUCUUCAUUCAAUACAAUUAUAGCAUGGAUAAUAAACUAUUAUCUUGAUACAGGAAUUAUAAUAAUAACUAUAUAUUGAUUAUUGCCUCUAGGGCAUAAUUCCAACAGUUCGUGAGUAAUCUAUUCGUAGGCUCGCUGGGCGGUGAUGAGUAGGAUGAGAUAUAUCAUGUAAUCGAGUUAGUUUUGAUGGGGAUUGAUCCCUAGUAUCCAGUAUGUUCUGAGAUUGAUGUUGCUACUACUUUGCCAUGCUUAGUGCUUGUCACCAGGGCCCGAGUGCCAUGAUUUCAGAUCUGUAAUUAUUAUGUUGUCACCAAUAUAUGUGUGUUUUAGAUCCAAUCUUGCAAGUUAUAGUUACCUACUAUGUGUUAUGAUCCGGCAACCCCGGAGAGACAAUAACCGGAACCACUCCUGGUGAUGACCAUAGUUUGAGGAGUUCAUGUGUUCACCAAGUGCUAAUGCGUUGGUCCGGUUCUUUAUUAAAAGGAGAACCUUAAUAUCCCGUAGUUUCCUUUUGGACCCCGCUGCCACGGGAGGGAUGGACAAUAGAUGUCAUGCAAGUUCUUUUCCCUAAGCACGUAUUACGACACACGGAAUGCAUGCCUACAUCACAUUGACGAACGGGAGCUAGCCACAUAUCUCUUCGUGUUAUAACUGUUGCAUGAUGAAUAUCAUCCAAACAAAUCACUAACCCAUUGCCUAGGAGUUUGUCCUACUGCUGCUAUUACUUGUUUUGCUCUGCUGUUGUUACUACUAUUGAUGCUGCUAUUACUUGUCUUGCUCUGCUGCUACUGUUGCUACUACUAUCGCUUGCUACUGUUGCUACUUGCUACUGCUGUCACUAUUGCUGUUCCUUGCCACUGCUAUUACUCGUUGCACUGCUGCUACUUGCUAUAAUCUUGAUCGCUGGUCGUUGACGGGAACCGACAAUUUCCAUCAACGGGGCAACUUGGCGCCAUUGAUACAAUCGUUAGAAAUAGUCUGCUGUGUCAACAGAUCGUUUCUGACACCGUUGUUAUCAUACUACUUUGCUGUUACUACUUUGCUUGUAGAUACUAAUCUUUUAGGUGCGGUUGAAUCAGACAAAUUCAGCUGCUAAUACUCGAGAGUAUUCUCUCACCUCCUGUCUGGCGUACCAACAAAUUUCGGUCGCAUAGUCUACCCUCGAAAACUGCUGCGAACCCACGCACUGGUGGGCCGUCAACAACAUUCUUCUAGUUUCAUUACCGGGGAGUGCUAGCAGCAUUCUUCUGGUGCCAUUGCAGGGGAAGGUUUGUUGUCACAGAAUCAGCAUUCGUCUAGCUAUUGCCAGAGAGUGCCAGUCAGGCGGCGGCGGGGACCGUGUUCUGCACCAUGACGGCGUGACGGGGCGGCGUAGCAGCGAUGCGCGGGUCGGUGCAACAUCGGGGACGGCCUCGGGCGGUGCUGGGGAUCGCGUGUUGCAACACUACAACCCGUAAAGGUGAUGUAGUGGCGGCUCGUNNNNNNNNNNNNNNNNNNNNNNNNNNNNNNNNNNNNNNNNNNNNNNNNNNNNNNNNNNNNNNNNNNNNNNNNNNNNNNNNNNNNNNNNNNNNNNNNNNNNNNNNNNNNNNNNNNNNNNNNNNGUGGCGGCUCGUGGGUUGCGGGGACCGCUUUUCGCGGCACUACGACCCGAAGGGGUGAUGUUGCGGCAAUGCGCGAGUCGAUGCAGCUGCAGAAAGAACCACGAGGCGGUGGAGCUGUGGCCCAAUGGGGCGACGCAGGAGCAGCCCAACGGUUGAACAAUGGAGGGGCGCGCUAUACUCAGGACAGUCUUCACGGGACUUGCGGAGGCGCGCACAACCGACAGCCUAGAUCGGUCGUACGAGAUAGAUGCGGAGGAUCAUGGGUGGGAGAAUGAUCGAUCCAAUCAUGCAAGGUUGGGGUCUUCACUCAUUGGAGGUGAGGUGGCGGCGUCUGAGAUGAAGCAAAAGAUGCGGUCAGCUCGACGUGACCAACGAUCAGUCGACAACUGACGAGCCCGAUGCAGCACGAGACGACGAGGACGACAUAUACGACACCCGCCCAACCCGAUGCGGCCGGACCGGUGAGCCCAGGGAAAUCGAAGCCGGCGAACCUGACAGCCAGCGAUGGCGCCGAUGAGUAGAAGGUUGGGCACUCAUACACACUAAAAGCACAUAUGCUCCCUUAGUGGUUUUGAUAAUUCACGAGAACAUACAUUGUCUCUUGGACUAAUACUUAGUUUAGAUAUAGUCCAUAGAGAGGAUUGGCUAAGGAUUGUGAGGAGAAGCCCCAAGGAAGGAAAGGAAUAGGAUAAGCCAAACUUCAAGCUUCAAGACUCUACAUUAUAUAUUAUGUGGGAAAUCACACUUGAGUCCAUAGGAAAGUCUAUACUAUUAAAAGGGGAUGAGGUGACUAUGAUGAUCCCGUUGCUCAAGUGCUUAGAGUUAGCCACCAACAAUCUUCAUGAAUUCUCCCACAAAUAUUCUGUCCAAAAUUCUAAAUAUCCGUAAUUCGGUGUCACUGACUUUUCCCAUUCAGUGCUACCGAUUUUUGCGUGAGACAGAUCAUAUGCCAAACCCUAGUUUCUCGGUGACACCUGAUACGUCUCAAACGUAUCUAUAAUUUUUGAUGGUUUCAUGCUAUUAUCUUGUCAUCUUUGAAUGUUUUAUGUACCUUUUAUAUCUUUUUUGGGACUAACUUAUUAAUUUAGUGCCAAGUGCCAGUUCCUGUUUUUCUGUGUGUUUGGCUCUUUACAGAUCUGAUUUUGGAACGGAGUCCAAACGGAAUAAAAUCCCCGAAAUGAUUUUUUCCCAAACGAAAGAAAAUCAAGGGGCUUGUGGGCCAAGCCAGGAGGGCUACAGCGAGCCCACAAGCCCCCACUCCGCCACCAGGGGGCAGCGGUGGGCAGGCUUGUGGCCUCCCUGGCGCCCCCUGACCUAGAUCUUGCGCCUAUAUAUUCCCUAAAAACCAGAAAAAAAAUCAAGGGAUCCAUGAAAAUACUUUUCCGCCGCCGCAAGCUUCCGUUUCCGCGAGAUCUCAUCUGGAUACCCUUCGUGAUGCCCUAUCGGAGGGGACUUUGGAGUUGGAGGGCUUCUUCAUCAUCAUCAUCGCCCCUCCAAUGACUCGUGGGUAGUUCACUUUAGACCUACGGGUAAGAAGGUGGGCUCUGUCGUAGAUGUGAGAUUGUCCAUCUACAUCAUUUCAUCUUGCUUAAGGCGUUACUCUGUUCUUUUGGACUUAAUACACUAGAUGCAUGCUGGAUAGCGGUCGACGUGUGGAGUAAUAGUAGUAGAUGCCGAAAGUACCGGUCUACUUGUUUUGGACGUGAUGCCUAUAGAUAUAAUCAUUGCCAUAGAUGACGUCACGACUUUGCAUGGUUCUAUCAAUUGCUCGACAGCAAUUUGUUCACCCACCGUCUACUUGCUUUCAUGAGAGAAGCCACUAGUAAACACUACGGUCCCCGGGUCUAUUCACACCUAUCGUUUCCACUUUCGCUUUUACUUUGCUUUGUUACUUUGUUGCUUUCAGUUCUCACUUGGCAAACAAUCUAUAAGGGAUUGACAACCCCUUCAUAGCGUUGGGAGCAAGCUUUUUGUGUUUGUGCAGGCUCUUGUGAUACUCCUUCACUGGAUCGAUACCUUGGUUCUCAAACUGAGGGAAAUACUUACCACCGCUGCGCUACAUCACCCUUUCCGCUUCGAGGGAACACCAACGCAAGGCUCCAAGGACACGGGGGAAAUCCUUUGCAUAUUUGCCUAGGAAGUCCCUUAAGGCGUAGCCGUAGCAGAAGGAUUCCUGGUGCCGUCGACACACCUAUUUCUGGUGCCGUUGGAAGGUCUUUUGUUGCAGUAGUAGAAGUAUUUCUGGCGCCGUUGCCGGGGAAGGAGAGACCUAUCCAAGUAGGUCUCACAAAUUCAUCUCUUGCAUUUACUUUUUUGCCAGUUGCCUCUCGUUUUCCUCUCCCCCACUUCACAUUUGCCGUUUUCUUUUGCCUUUCUCCUUUGCCGUUUUCUUUUGCUUUUUUUCCAUUUUCGUUUGCCUUUUUCUCUCGCUUGCUUUCUGUUCGCUUGUGUGCUAUGUGCCUUCAUUAUGCUUGCAUCUUCGCUUGCUGAAAAUCUAUUGAUAUGGAUCCUCAUCCACUAGCUAAUCUCUUUAAGAGACUCACUUAUGUGGAACGAAUUGCUAGUGAGUUGAGUGCACUUGACUAUCUUUAUGGACUUUUGCUUGAGAUGCGUGAAUCUAAAAAUUGUGAGGAAGAAAUUUAUGAAGUGAUUCACGAGGGCUCCUUGGAUGAAAAGCAUGAUUGCAAUAGUUUCACUAUAAAUUCUAUUAGUGACAAUCAUGCUAAAAAUAUGCAAACCCUAAGCUUGGGGAUGCUAGUUUUUAUUUGUCCACUACUUGUUGCAAUAAUCAUGAUUGGGGUGAUGAUCUUUAUUAUGAUCUUGAAAAUUUGUUCAAACCUCGUGAUGAAUAUGAUAUUUGCAAUAACAUUGAAAGUGGGUUUGGAGAAGUCAUGAGUUUAGUUGAUGAUAAUACCACUAUUUUUGAAGAGCGUCAACUUUGCAUGCAUUUGGAUCAUGAAAAGAAUAUCCUAUGGGAUAGCUACAUUGUUGAAUUUGAAUAUGAUCCCACAUGUAAUUGCUAUGGGAGAGGAAAAUAUUGUGGUAGAAACCUUCAUGUUACCAAAUCACCUCUCGUGAUGUUGAGAUUGCUCUUGUCUUUUUCUUCUUCCUUGCAUAUGGUAGCUAUUUGUUGUCUUGACAAUUUGUUUUCCUAUAAAAUGCCUAUGCACAGGAAGUAUGUUAGACUUAGAUGUGAUUUUCACAUGCUUUAGGAUGCUCUCGUUGUGCUUCAAUUCUUGUCUUUUGUGAGGGCAUCAUUGAAUGCCUAGCUAAGGGCGUUAAACAAAAGUGCUUGUUGGAAGGCAACCCAACGAAUCUAUCCUUUUUCUUUCUGUUUUGUGUUUUCCACACUAUCAUAAUUCUGUUAUGAUUGUAUUUUUUGUGUUUCUUUUUGCGUUUGUGCCAAGCAAAACCGUUAUGAUUAGUCUUGGCGAUGAUCGUUUGGUCAUGCUGGAAAAGACAGAAACUUUCUGCUCACUAAAAGAAUUUUAAUUUUGUUAUGUAAGAGAUUUUGAGUUGAUUCUUUUUGCUGCUGAUUGCAACGCAAAUUCUUCAGACUGUAUUAAUUUUUCAGAAUUUUGGAAGUACCAGAAGUAUACGAAAUAUACAGAUUGCUACAGACCGGUCUGCUGUUCACAAAUUCUGUUUUUUGUUGUGUUGGUUGCUUAUUUUGAUGAAACUAUGGAUAGUAUCGGUGGGUAUGAGCCAUGGAAGAUUGAAAAUACAGUAACCCAACAUCAGCAUAAGUAGAAUUUAAGUUUGCUACAGUACCUAAGGAAGUGGUGGUUUGCUUUCUCAUACUAAUGUUAUCACGAGUUUCUGUUUCACUUUCGUGUUGUGAAGUUUUCAAGUUUUGGGUGAAGUUCUUAUGGACAAAGAGAUAAAGAGUGGCAAGAGCUCAAGCUUGGGGAUGCCCAAGGCACCCCAAGAGAUUCAAGGAUGUAAUAAAAGCUUAAGCUUGGGGAUGCCCCGGGAAGGCAUCCCCUCUCUCGUCUUCAAUCCAUCGGUAACGUUAUUUGGGGCUAUAUUUUUAUUCACCACAUGUUAUGUGUUUUUGCUUGGAGCGUCUUGUAUCGUAGGAGUAUUUUAUUUUUGUUGUGUGACAAUCGUCCUUGCUGCACACCUAGAUAGAGAGACAUGCACUCACCAUGAUUUUGUCGAUGUUCACUUAUAUCCUUUGGUAGACAAUUCAGCUCACCUGUGCUUCACUUAUAUCUUUUGAGCUAGAUACUUUUGCUCUGUGUGCUUCACUUAUAUCUUUUAGAGCACAGCGGUGCGUGGCUUGUUAGUUGAUCUAUGCUUUGAAAGUAGUCUCAAAAGGGGUAGUUAUCGAAAGGGAUACAAAAACUUCCACCUUCAUUUGCAUUGAAUAGUUAGAGAAGUUUGAUUCAUCUCAAUUAGUUUUGAGUUGUGGUUUUGGUAAUAUUGAAGUUAUGCUAGUAAGGUGUUGUGGAUCUAGAAAUACUUGUGUUGAAGUUAGUGAUUCCCGUAGCAUGCACGUAUGGUGAACCGCUAUGUGAUGAAAUCUGAGCAUGAUUAGUCUAUCGAUUGUCAUCCUUUGCGUGGCGGUCGGGAUCGCGCGAUGGUUUAUACCUACCAACCCUUCCCCUAGGAGUAUGCGUUGAAUGCUUUGUUUCGAUUACUAAUAAAACUUUUGCAACAAGUAUAUGAGUUCUUCAUGACUAAUGUUGAGUCCAUGGUUUAGAUGCACUUUCACCUUCCACCUUCACUAUCUUUUUAGUGCCGUGCAACUUUCGCCGGUGCACAAAACCCACCAUUAGCCUCCCUCAAAACAGCCACCAUACCUACCUACUAUGGCUUUUCAAAGUCAUUCCGAGAUAUAUUGCCAUGCAACUACCACCAUGACAUGUGCCACCACGUCUACAUUACCAUUGCAUGAUCAUAAGAUAGCUAGCAUGAUGUUUCCAUUAAUGUCUAUGCCAUGCUAGAUCAUUGUCACGGUACACUACCGAAGGCAUUCCAUAUAGAGUCAUCGUUGCUCUAAGUUUUGAGUUGUAAGUGUGAUGAUCAUCAUUGAUGGAGCAUUGUCCCAUGUGAGGAAAUAAAAGAGGUCAAAGAAGCCCACCAAAAAAAUGAGGCCAAAGAGCCCACCAAAAAAAAGAUGAGAGAAAAAGAGAGAAGGGACAAUGUUACCACCUUUUCCACACUUGUGCAUAUUAAGCACCAUGAUCUUCAUGAUUGAGAGUUUCUCGUUUUGUCACCACCAAAUAGCUAGUGGGAAAUUUUCAUUAUAUAACUUGGCUUGUAUAUUCCAAUGAUAGGCUUCCUCAAAAUUGCCUUAGGUCUUCGUGAGCAAGCAAGUUGGAUGCACACCCACUAGUUUUCUUUAAGAGCUUUCACAUACUCUUAGCUCUAGUGCAUCAUUUGUAUGGCAAUCCCUACUCAUUCACAUUGAUAUCUAUUGAUGAGCAUCUCCACAGCUCAUUGAUAUGCCUAGUUAAUGUGACCAUCUUCUGCUUGUUUUGUCUUGCAACCUCCACCACACUCCACACCAUCUAUAGUGCUAAAACCAUGGCUCACGCUCAUGUAUUGCAUGAGAGUUAUAAAGGUUUGAGAAAGUAAAGGUGUGAAACAAUUACUUGGCCAAUACCGGGGUUGUGCAUGAUUUAAAUUCGUUGUGCAAUGAUGAUAGAGCAUAGCCAGACUAUAUGCUUUUGUAGGGAUAACUUUCUUUUGGCCUUGUUAUUUUGGAAGUUCAUGAUUACCUUGCUAGUUUGCUGGAAUUAUUAUUGUUUCCACGUCAAUAGCAAACUAUUGUUUUGAACCUAAUGGAUCUGAACAUUCAUGUCACAUAAGAGGAGUUACAAAGGACAUCUAUGCUAGGUAGCAUGAAAGCAUCAAAAAUUCAUUCUUUAUCACUUCCCUACUUGAGGACGAGCAGGAGUUAAGCUUGGGGAUGCUUGAUACGUCUCACAUGAAUCUAUAAUUUUUGAUGGUUUCAUGUUGUUAUCUUGUCAUCUUUGAAUGUUUUAUGUACCUUUUAUAUCUUUUUUGGGACUAACUUAUUAAUUCAGUGCCAAGUCUCAGUUCCUGUUUUUUCUGUGUUUUUUGCUCUUUUCAGAUCUGAUUUUGGANNNNNNNNNNNNNNNNNNNNNNNNNNNNNNNNNNNNNNNNNNNNNNNNNNNNNNNNNNNNNNNNNNNNNNNNNNNNNNNNNNNNNNNNNNNNNNNNNNNNNNNNNNNNNNNNNNNNNNNNNNNNNNNNNNNNNNNNNNNNNCAGAUCUGAUUUUGGAACGGAGUUCAAACGGAAUAAAAUCCCCGAAAUGAUUUUUUCCCGGAUGAAAGAAGAUCAGGGGGCUUGUGGGCCAAGCCAGGAGGGUUACAGGGAGCCCACAAGCCCCCACUCCGCCACCAGGGGGCGGCCGUGGGCAGACUUGUGGCCUCCCUGGCGCCCCCCUGACCUAGAUCUUGCGCCUAUAUAUUCCCUAAAAAUCAGAAAAAAAAUCAAGGGAUCCACGAAAAUACUUUUCCGCCGCCGCAAGCUUCCGUUUCCGCGAGAUCUUAUCUGGAGACCCUUCCCGAUGUCGUGCCGGAAGAGACUUUGGAGUUGGAGGGCUUCUUCAUCAUCAUCAUCGCCACUCCAAUGACUCGUGAGUAGUUCACUUUAGACCUACGAGUCCGUAGUUAGUAGCUAGAUGGCUUCUUCUCUCUCUUGGAUCUUCAAUACAAAGUUCUCCAUGAUCUUCAUGGAGAUCUAUCCGAUGUAAUCUUCUUUGGCGGUGUGUUUGUCGAGAUCCGAUGAAUUGUGGAUUUGUGAUCAGAUUAUCUAUGAUAUAUAUUUGAGUCUUUGCUGAUUUCUUAUAUGCAUGAUUUGAUAUCCUUGUAAGUCUCUCCGAGUCUUGGGUUUUGUUUGGCCAACUAGAUCUAUGAUUCUUGCAAUGGGAGAAGUGCUUGGUUUUGGGUUCUUACCGUGUGGUGACCUUUCCCAGUGACAGUAGGGGCAGCAAGGCACACAUCGUGUAGUUGCCAUCAAGGGUAACAAGGUGGGCUCUGUCGUAGAUAUGAGAUUUUCCAUCUACAUCAUGUCAUCUUGCUUAAGGCAUUACUCUGUUCUUUUUGACUUAAUACACUAGAUGCAUGCUGGAUAGCGGUCGACGUGUGGAGUAAUAGUAGUAGAUGCAGAAAGUAUCGGUCUACUUGUUUUGGACGUGAUGCCUAUAGAUAUAAUCUUUGCCAUAGAUGACGUCACGACUUUGCGUGGUUCUAUCAAUUGCUCGACAGUAAUUUGUUCACCCACCGUCUACUUGCUUUCAUGAGAGAAGCCACUAGUAAACACUACGGCCCCCGGGUCUAUUCACACCUAUCGUUUCCACUUUUGCUUUUACUUUGCUUUGUUACUUUGUUUCUUUCAGUUCUCACUUGGCAAACAAUUUAUAAGGGAUUGACAACCCCUUCAUAGCGUUGGGAGCAAGCUUUUUGUGUUUGUGCAGGCUCUUGUGAUACUCCUUCACUGGAUCGAUACCUUGGUUCUCAAACUAAGGGAAAUACUUACCACCGCUGCGCUACAUCACCCUUUCCGCUUCGAGGGAACACCCAUACAUUGUCGAUUUCACUAACAAAUCCUGACACCGUACAUGUCUUAUUGCAAAAUCUUCUAAAGGUUGGUUAUGGCAUAGAAGGCUAGGACAUGUUGGUAUACAUAAUCUAGACAAGCUUAUCAAAGGUGAUCAUAUUCUUGGUGUUAAAGGUGUUAUUUUUGACAAAGAUAGACUUUGUAGUUCUUGUCAAGCAGGGACACAAGUUGGUGGAAGUCACCACGUGAAGAAUAUCAUGACUGCUAGAAGGCCACUCGAGCUGCUUCACAUGGAUCACUUUGGUCCCAAUGCUUACAAGAGCCUCGGUGGAAAUUCUUUUGGUCUAGUUAUAGUUGAUGGUUUUCCCGAUUUACGUGGGUAUUAUUUCUUGAUGAGAAGUUGUAGGUAUAAAAGAUCUUCAAGAACUUCGAUUGGAAAGCCCAAAAUCAGUUUAAAGUGAAGAUCAAGAAAGCUCGGAGCGACAUUGGAUUGGAGUUCAAGAACACAAAUGCGGAUAUUUUACUUGAUGAAGAAGGUAUAUUACAUGAGUUCUCGGCGACGUACACACCUCAACCAAAUGGAGUUGUUGAGUGGAAGAACCGGACUCUCAUGGAGAUGGCUAGAACGAUGCUCGACGAAUACUAGAUGCCAAUACACUUUUGGGCAGAAGNNNNNNNNNNNNNNNNNNNNNNNNNNNNNNNNNNNNNNNNNNNNNNNNNNNNNNNNNNNNNNNNNNNNNNNNNNNNNNNNNNNNNNNNNNNNNNNNNNNNNNNNNNNNNNNNNNNNNNNNNNNNNNNNNNNNNNNNNNNNCACUUUUGGGCAGAAGCCGAGAAAACAACUUGUCGUGCCACAAACUGACUCUACCUACACAAGCUUCUCGGUAAAAGGACAUACCAGCUACUUACGGGUAACAAACCCCAAGUUGGAUAUUUUCAGGUAUUUGGCUCAAAUUGUUACAUUCUCGAUAAGGAUCGUCCUUCUAAAUUUGCUCCUAAAUAUCAUGAAGGUUUCCUACUUGGUUACGGAUAAAACUCUCAUAUUUACCGUGUCUACAACAAAUUCACUCGAAUAGUUGAAGAGACAGUAGAUUUGAAGUUUGAUGAAUCUAAUGGUUCGCAAGUCAAACAAUUGUCAAAUGAUGUAGGAGAUAAGGAACCUUUAGAAACCAUUCAAGACCUAUCCAUCGGCAAGAUUCGUCCCAAGGAGGUGAAGGAUAGUACUUCAUCAACACAAGUGGAAGCUCCUACUUUGCGUCAAGAUGAACCACAAAACGACAUGGAGGCAUCCACAAGCGGUACACGACAAGAAGAGGAGGAAGAAGCACAUCGUGAUGAUCCACCCCAACCUUCUUCAUCAUCACCUUAAGGAGAAGACACCAUCAACAAUAAUGAAUAAUAAUACGAUAACGAGGAAGCUCCACCAUCCAACAAGCAAAAGUUGUCAUGAGUUUGAGCAUGAGUGAACAAGAAUCAUCCGCUAGGUCAAAUCUUCGGUGACAUACAAACUAGGAGAAUCACUCACUCUAAAACUCGUUUAGCUCACCUUCAUCAGCAAUACUCAUUUAUCUCUAGCAUUGAGCCUAUGAAGGUAGAAGAAGCACUUCAAGACCGGAUUGGGUGAAUGCCAUGCACGAAUACUACUAGGUUAAAGCUUAUUAGUAGCACGGGUUUGUGGGCUAGCAGUAGCACGGUUUCCCAUGCUACUGCUAUGGCGCUACAACUAACAUUUAGCAGUAGCACGGUUCUUGUUGUGGAACAUCGCAUGGGAAACAAAAAAAAUCCUAUGCACACACAAUACCUAUCUAUUGUGAUGAUCAUCUACGAGAGGGGAGAGUGCAUCUACAUACCCUUGUAGAUCGCUAAGCGGAAGCGUAUAUAACGCGGUUGAUGUAGUGGAACAUCUUCGCAAUCCAAAUCGCAGCCUGUCCCGCGAUCUCAUCACGAUCCAUCCCGCGAUCCCAUCACGAUCCACCCCGAUCUAGUGCCGAACGGACGGCACCUCCGCGGUCAGCACACGUACAACUCGAUGACGAUCUCCGCCUUCUUGAUCCAACAAGAGGGGCAAAAAGUUAUAUGAGUUCUCCAGUACGGCGGAAUGGUGGUGGUGGUGGUGGAGCUAUUCUAGCAGGGCUUCGCCUAAGCACCGGUGAAACUAGACUAGAGGAGAAACAAAUCUUGAGAGAGAGAGAGAGGGCAACACGUGGCUGUUUUCUAUGUCUCAAAAACCCUCAAUACCUCUAGUAUAUAUAGGAGGGAGGGAGGGGAGGAGGCAGCCUCAAACCCUCAAGGUUUGGCCGAAUUGGAGCUGGAGGAGUCCUACUCCAAUCCUACUACAAGUAGGAUUCCUCCUUUCCACUUGGAAACCCUUUCCACCUUUGGGUUUUUUGCCUCUCAAACCUCAUGGGCCUUAGUGGGAGCUUAUGUCAGCCCACUAGGGGCUGGUUUGUAUCCUCCCACGGUCCAUAAGGCCCCUCGGGGCGUGACACCCUUCCCGAUGGUCCCCUGUACCCUCCCGACACUCUCGGUACACUACGAUGAGCCCGAAACUUUUCCAGUGACCAAAAUAGGACUUACUAUAUAUCAAUAUUUACCUCCGGAGCUCCUCGUGUCAUCCGCGAUCUCAUCCAGGACUCCGAACAACUUUUGGUUACCAACACCUAUAACUCAACUAUACCGAAAUGUCAAUUAACCAUAAGCGUGCAGACCCUGCGGCUUCGAGAACUAUGCAGACAUGACCGAGACACCUCUACGGUCAAUAACCAAUAGUGGGACCUGGAUGCCCAUAUUGGAUCCUACAUAUUCUACGAAGAUCUUUAUCGGUUGAACCUCUAUGUCAAGGAUUCAGUUAAUCACGUAUGUUGUUCCCUUUGUCCUUCCGUAUGUUACUUGCCUGAGAUUCGAUCGUCGGUAUCUCUAUACCUAGUUCAAUCUCGUUAUCGGCAAGCCUCUUUACUCGUUUCAUAAUACAAGAUCUCGUGGCUAACUUCUUAGUCACAUUGCUUGCAAGGCUUAUUAUGAUGUUGUAUUACCGAGUGGGCCCCGAGAUACCUUUCCGUCAUACGGAGUGACAAAUCCCAGUCUCGAUUCAGGCCAACCCAACAGACACCUUCGAAGAUACUUGUAGAGCACAUUUGUAGUCACCCAGUUACGUUGCAAUGUUUGAUACACACAAGGUAUUCCUCUGGUGUCCGGGAGUUGCUUGAUUUCAUGGUCAUAGGAACAGACACAUUGACAUGCAGAAAACAGUAGCAAUAAACUGACACGAUCAUAUGCUACAUUGACUGUUUGGGUCUUGUCCAUCAAAUCAUUCUCCUAAUGAUGUGAUCCUUUUAUCAAGUGACAACACUUGUCUAUGGCUAGGAAACCUUAACCAUCUUUGAUCAACGAGCUAGUCAACUAGAGGCUUACUAGGGACAGUGUUUUGUCUAUGUAUCCACACAUGUAUUUGAGUUUUCAAUCAAUACAAUUCUAGCAUGGAUAAUUAACGAUUAUCAUGAACAAGGAAAUAUAAUAACAAUAACCAAUUUAUUAUUGCCUCUAGGGCAUAUUUCCAACAGUCUCCCACUUGCACUAGAGUUAAUAAUCUAGUUCACAUCACUAUGUGAUUUUGAUGAAUCUAACACCCAUACAGUUCUGGGGUUUGAUCAUGUCUUGCUUGUGAGAGAGGUUUUAGUCAAUGGGUCUGAACCUUUCAGAUCUGAGUGUGCUUUACAAAUCUCUAUGUCAUACUGUAGGUGCUGCUACCAACGUGCCAUUUUGCAACUAUUCCAAAUUACUCCUCAACUAUACGAAUCCGGUUUACUACUCAGAGUUAUCCGGAUUAGUGUCAAAGCUUGCAUCGGCGUAACCCUUUACGACGAAAUCUUUUAACACCUCCAUAAUCGAGAAAAAUUUCCUUACUCCACUAGUUACUAAGGAUAAAUUUCACCACUGUCAAGUAAUCCAUUCGUGGAUCACUUUCGUACCCCUUGACAAAUUCAUGGCAAGGCACUCAUCAGGUGUGGUACACAACAUAGCAUACUGUAGAGCCUAUGGCUAAUGCAUAGGGGACGACCUUCGUCUUUUCUCUUUCUUCUGCCAUGGUCGGGCUUUGAGUCUUACUCAAAUUCACACCUUACAAACAGGCAAUAACGCCUUCUUUGCCGAUCUGUUUUGAACUCCUUCAAAAACUUGUCAAGGAAUGCAUUUCAUUGUAAGUUUUAUCAAGCGUCUUGAUCUAUCUAUAUAGAUCUUGAUGCUUAAUGUUCAAGUAGCUCAAUCCAGGUUUUCCUCUGAAAACACCUUUUCAAACAACCCUAUAUGCUUUCCAAAAAUUCUACAUAAUUUCCGAUCAACAAUAUGUGAACCACAUAUACUCAUUAGAAAUUCUAUAGUGCUCCCACUCACUUCCUUGGAAAUACAAGUUUCUCACAAACUUUGUAUAAACCAAAAAGAUUUGAUCAUCACAUCAAAGCGCAUAUCCAACUCCGAGAUGCUUACUCCAGUCCUUAGAAGGAUCGCUAGAUCUUGCAUACUUGUUAGGAUCCUUAGGAUUGACAAAACCUUCUGGUUGUAUCACAUACAACCUUUCCUCAAGGAAACCGUCAAGGAAACAAUGUUUUGACAUCCAUCUACAAGAUGCAGUGAUGACACACGAGUAUAAGGGAACUAUCGUAGUCCUUUCGAUAAGUAAGAGUGUCGAACCCAACGAGGAGCAGAAGGAUCUGACAAGUGGUUUUCAGCAAGGUAAAAUCUGUAGGCACUGAAAUUAUCGAUAACAAGUGGUUGUGUGGUGAAAUGAUUCGUAGCAAGCAACAAGUAACAAAAGUAGCAACGGUGCAGCAAAGUGGCCCAAUCCCUUUUGUAGCAAGGGACAAGCCUGGACAAAGUCUUAUAGGAGUAAAAACGCUCCCGAGGACACACGAUAAUUUCUGUCAUGCUAGUUUUCAUGAUGUUCAUAUGAUUCGCAUUCGUUACUUUGAUAGUUUGAUAUGUGGGUGGACCGGCGCUUGGGUAUAUGCCUUCCUUUAGGCCCAAAUAAUGGUGAAGUGUUAUGUAGUCGACGUUCACAUAACACCACUAGAGGAAAAACAACAUACAACACAUCAAAAUAUCGAACGAAUAUCAAAUUCACAUGACUACUAUUAGCAUGACUUAUCUCAUGUCCUCAGGAACAAAAGUAACUACUCACAAAGCAUAAUCAUAUUCAUGACCAGAGAGGUAAUAAGUAGCAUCACAGAUCUGAACAUAAGCUCUUCCACCAAGUAUUCCAACUAGCAUCAACUACAAAGAGUAAUUAACACUACUAGCAACCUUACAAGUACCAAUCGGAGUCGCGAGACGGAGAUUGGUUACAAGUGAUGAACUAGGGUUUGGAGAUGAGAUGGUGCUGAUGAAGAUGUUGAUGGUGAUGUGUCCCCUCCGAUGAGAGGAGUGUUGGUGAUGACGAUGGCGACGAUUUCCCCCUCCGGGAGGGAAGUUUCCCCGGCAGGAUCGUCCUGCCGGAGCUCUAGAUUGGUUCUGCUCAAGUUCCGCCUCGUGGCGGCGGAGAAUCCUCGAAAAAGCCUCCUACUGAUUUUUUCGAAACGAAACCCUUCAUAUAGCAGAAGAGGGGAGCCAGUGGGCCAGCAGGGAGCCCACAAGCCCCCUAGGCGCGACCAAGGGGGUGGCCGCGCCUACCAGGCUUGUGGCCCCCUGGUUGCGCUCCUCUGGCACUUCUUCGGCCCAGUAUUUUUUAUAUAUUCCCAAAAAAAUCCAAGUUGAUUUUCACAGCUUUUGGAGUUGCGCAGAAUAGGCAUCUCAAACUUGCUCCUUUUCCAGGCCAGAAUUCCAGCUGCCGGCAUUCUCCCUCUUCAUGUAAACCUUGCAAAAUAAGAGAGAAAAGGCAUAAGUAUUGUACCGUGAAGUGAAAUAACAGCCCAAGAAGCGAUAAAUAUCAACAUGAAAGCAUGAUGCAAAAUGAACGUAUCAACUCCCCCAAGCUUAGACCUCGCUUGUCCUCAAGCGAAAGCCUAGAUCAAUAAACAUGCCCACAUGUUUAGGAGACAGGUGUCGACAAAACAAGAUACGAACAUGCAGGCAUCAUGAAGAUGAUUAGAACAGCAAUACCAUCAUAUCAUCUCUUAUGCUAAAGUGAUAAUUCCUUCACAAAGUAAAGCAUGUAUCAAGAACCUUACCGAGAAUUAACAACCGAUAGCCUUUAGUCACUGAAGCAAUUGCAAUUUAUCACAACAUCAGAAAGAGUCAAAUAAGAGCUUGUAAAGCAAAUCCACAUACUCAAUCAUCUUUUGGUUUUGUACAAUUGCUACAACUCACGUGGUACUCAUGAGAUCAAAGUUUCAGUUGGACACAGAGAAACAUAGGGGAUUAUAGUUUCGCCUCCCAACUAUUUACCUCAAGGGUAAUAUCAACAAUAAUAAUUCAUGAAUACUUACUUCCAAGUUGACAUAUGAAUAUAGAUCUUUCCCAAGCAUAUGACGUUAGCCAAUAUAAAGGCGAAACAAGGAAUUGGUGAAGAUCGCCAUGACUCUUUCAAGGGAAAAAAGUAAAGGUACAAGAUAGGCCCUUUCGCUGAGGGAAGCAGAGGUUGUGAUGCGCUUUUGAGGUUGGAAUGCGUGUCCUCUUAGUGCGGAGGAACGUCACUUUAUAUUACCUCCUGUGAUAAAGAACUUUAUUAUGCAGUCUAUCGCUUUUAUGUCUUUCUCAUCACAUGUUCGUACAAAGCUUAUUUUCCACACACUAAUAGAUCAUACAUAUUAGGGAGCAAUUUUUAUUGCUUGCACCGAUGACAACUUACUUGAGGGAUCUUAUUCAAUCCAUAGGUAGGUAUAGUGGACUCUCAUGGCAAAACUGGGUUGAAGGUUUAUGGAUGCACAAGUAGUAUCUCUACUUGGUCUGGGAGUUUUGGCUAAUAUGAGGUGGAAGCAAUCGUCACAUGCUAAGGGAUCUCUAAUCAUAUAACAUUGUUCGGAACCAAGCAAACACAAUUCAUUAUGUUGUCUUCCUUGUCCAACAUCUACUUCUAAGCAUGCAAUAGUUUAGUGAGUGUUCACAAUCACAGAUGGUGUCAAAGAUGAUGUAUUUAUGUGUGAACCUCUCCUUCUUUAUAACUUCCUAUUAAUUGCAACAAUGACCAAGGUCUACGUUUGUCUACCCUCAACAAGUUUCAAUCAACAUUGUUUUUAUAUGUGAACCCAUCACUUCCCAUAAGAUCAUUACAUGAUCUUUCAUGCUUUUGUUCUUUUCUCAAUCUAUUGAUCAUGGCAAGAGGCAAAGCCCUCAAAUAAGACACUCUUUAUUAUAUGGCUCACGAGCUCAAAUACAUCGGGGGUGACACAAAGCAAAACUCAGGCCUAAAACACUAAGACCUUUAAUCUACUAGAGAAAAAGAAAACUGAAAAGGAACAAACUAAACAAAGGUAAAGGCAAAAGAUGUGAUGGUGAUACGAUACCGAGGCAACUCCCCCAAGCUUGGCACAGGCCAAGGGGAUUGCCUAUAGCCAUGCUCAGUUGUCUUCCUUUGGAGGUGAUGGUGGUGGAGUUGUUGCAGAGGUCUUGAGCUUGUUUAAUUUCCACUUGAGCAUAAAAUUCUGCUCCCUCAGAUCCUCAUUUUCCUCUUCAAGCCUCAACACCCUUUGGCAUAAUUCCUGCUUACUCUCCUGCAAGAAACGAGAAGGGAUAAACAAAGUCUUAGGCUUCUUCCUUGAGUCAGGGAGGCUCGACUUCUUGAACUCCACAUGCAUGUUUCCAGGUGGAGGUAGAGGAGUCUCCUCCUCAUUGGAACUUGUUUGUUCCUUCCCCUUGGUAUCAUAAUCUUCUUCCUCAUCAGUGGUCCAGCCAUAAGGAUCCAAGUCCCCAUAGACCUUGGGGUUAGCGAGGUAAUCAGCCACAUAGCUCUCCCCCUCUGAAUCCUGAGAGGACAUCUUGACCUAAAUCUGCGGCAGAAAACAGGCUUGAAAUGAAAACAGAGGAAAUCUGCGUGAUACGAGGUUCAGACCUUUCGGGAGAAUAUAUAAUGAUUUUUCCAGACCAGAAGGAGUACUCCGCAUGAAAACGGAGUCCGGGAGGCACAUGAGGUAGCCACAAGCUCCCCAGGCACGGCCAGGGGGUGGGCCUGUGCCUCGCAGUCUUGUCGCCUCCUCGCGCGCUUUCCGUACUACUUCCAAUUUUUCUAUUUUUUCAAAUAAUCCAAAACGGAGAAAAAUUUCUACUGGAAAAGUUUUGGAGUGUGUUUUCUUACGGAAUCACAUACCUCUUCGUUUUCGGAGUCUGAAACAGGCUGAUAAAUAUCCCUUAGGUAUUCUUCCAAAGUUAUGGUAUUGAUGAUAUUGCUUUCAACAUUUAUGGGAGCACCUGAGAUAUAAUGCUUGAUUCACUACCCAUUUACAACUCUCAGACAAUUACCUUUCGUGUUGUUGAUCUUGAUAGCACUGGAACGAUAUACUUCCUCAACAAUAUAGGGACCUUCCCAUUUAGAAAGAAGCUUGCCUGCAAAAAAUCUUAAACGAGAAUUAUAUAGCAAGACAUAAUCACCUACAUUAAACUCACGCUUUUGUAUCCUCUUAUCAUGCCACAUCUUAACCUUUUCUUUGAACAACUUGGCAUUUUCAUAUGCCUGAGUUCUCCAUUCAUCAAGCGAGCUAAUGCCAAAUAACCUCUUCUCACCAGCAAGUUUGAAAUCAAAGUUGAGCUCUUUGAUUGCCCAAUAAGCUUUAUGCUCUAGCUCAAGAGGUAAAUGACAUGCUUUACCAUAAACCAUUUUGUACGGAGACAUGCCCAUGGGAUUCUUAUAGGCAGUUCUAUAAGCCCACAGUGCAUCACCGAGCUUCUUAGACCAAUUCUUUCUAGACCUGUUAACAGUCUUUUGCAGAAUUAGUUUAAUUUCUCUAUUGCUUAGCUCUACUUGACCACUGGACUGAGGCUGAUAGGGGGACGCAAUUAUAUGGUUGACAUCGUACUUAGCAAGCAUUUUACAUAAAGCGCCAUGAAUGAAAUGUGAACCACCGUCGAUCAUCAGAUAUCUAGGGACUCCAAAUCUAGGGAAAAUACUUCUUUAAGCAUCCUGAUAGAAGUGUUGUGAUCAGCCCUACUAGCGGGGAUAGCUUCUACCCACUUAGUGACGUAAUCAACAUCAACUAGGAUAUGAGUAUACCCGUUUGAUUUUGGAAAAGGUCCCAUAUAAUCAAAGCCCCAGACAUCAAAUGGUUCAAUGACGAGUGAAUAGUUCAUAGGCAUUUCCUGACGUUUACCGAUAGUACCUAUUCUUUGACAUUCGUCACAAGACAAGACAAACUUACGGGCAUCCUUGAAGAGAGUGGGCCAAUAGAAACCUGAUUGCAAUACCUUGUGUGCAGUUCUGUCUCCCGCAUGGUGUCCUGCGUAGGCCUCGGAGUGACACUUCUUUAGGAUCUGUCCCUGUUCAUGUUCAGUUACACAACGUCUGAUAACACCAUCUACUCCUUCCUUAUAAAGGUGAGGAGCAUCCCAGAAGUAAUGUCUCAAGUCAAAGAAGAAUUUCUUCUUUUGCUGGUAUGUGAAACUAGGUGGUAUAUAUUUGGCAACGAUAUAGUUUGCAUAAUUAGCAUACCACGGUGUGCUACGUGAAGCAUUGAUGACAUUGAAUUGCUCAUCAGGAAAGUUAUCAUCAAUAGGUUGUGGGUCAUCAAGAACAUUCUCUAACCUAGACAUGUUAUCUUCUACUGGGUUAUCACCACCCUUUCUGUCGACAACGUGCAAAUCAAAUUCUUGUAGCAAGAGAACCCAUCUAAUAAGUAUACGUUUAGCGUCCUUCUUCUCCACGAGGUACAUAAUAGCAGCGUGAUUAGUGCGAAUAGUGACUUUGGAAUCGACUAUGUAAGACCUAAACUUUUCACAUGCAAACACGACUGCUAAAAAUUCCUUUUCCGUAGUAGCAUAGUUUCUUUGGGCACUGUCUAGAGUUUUACUAGCAUAGUGAAUAACAUUCAACUUCUUAUCAACUAUUUGCCCUAGAACAGCACCAAUAGCAUAAUCACUAGCAUCACACAUGAUUUCAAAAGGUAAGUUCCAAUCAGGUGGUUGAACAAUGGGUGCAGUUAUCAAAGCCCUCUUAAGUAUUUUGAAGGCUUCCUCACAAUCAUCGUUAGAAACAAAAGGAAUAUCCUUUUGCAAGAGAUUGGUAAGAGGCCUAGAAAUCUUAGAGAAGUCUUUAAUGAACCUUCUAUAGAAACUAGCAUGACCAAGGAAACUUAUUAUACCUUUGAUAUCUGUGGGGUAUGUGAUACGUCUCCAAUGUAUCUAUAAUUUUUGAUGGUUUCAUGCUAUUAUCUUCUCAAACUUUGGAUGUUUUGCAUGCCUUUUAUAUAUUUUUUGGGACUAACUUAUUGACUCAAUGCCAAGUGUCAGUUCCUGUUUUUUCCAUGUUUUUGACCCCUUUCAGAGGAGAUUAUGAAACGGAGUCCAAACGGAAGAAAAUCCCCGAAAAGAUUUUUUCCGUAAAGGAAGAAGAUCAGGAAGCUUGGGAGCCAAGGCAGGGGACCCUUAGGGGCCCCACAAGCCCCCACCCCGCAGCCAGGGGGGUAGGCUGUGGCCCACAAGCUUGUGGGCCCCUUGGGCGCCCUCUGCCCUAGGGGUUGCGCCUAUAUAUUCCCUAAAAAUCCCAAAAAAAUCAGGAGAUCAUCGAAUUCACUUUUACGCCGCCGCAAGCUUCUGUCUCCGCAUGAUCCCAUCUGGGGCACGUUCUGGUGCCCUGCCGGAGGGGGGAUUCGGACACGGAGGGCUUCUUCAUCAACACCAUGACGUCUCCGAUGAUGCGUGAGUAGUUCACCAUAGACCUACGGGUCCAUAGCUAGUAACUAGAUGGCUUCUUCUUUCUCUUGGAUCUUCAAUACAAAGUUCUCCAUGGUCUUCAUGGAGAUCUAUCCGAUGUAAUCUUCUUUUGCGGUGUGUUUGUCGAGAUCCGAUGAAUUGUGGAUUUAUGAUUAGAUUAUCUAUGAAUCUUAUUUGACUUUCUUCUGAUCUCUCUUAUGCAUGAUUUCAUAUCCUUGUAAUUCUCUUCGAGUUGUGGGUUUUGUCUGGCCAACUAGAUCUAUGAUUCUUGCAAUGGGAGAAGUGCUUGGUUUUGGGUGCAUACCGUGCAGUGACCUCACCCAGUGGCAGAAGGGGUAGCGAGGCACGCAUCGUGUUGUUGCCAUCAAGGGUAAAAAGAUGGGGUUUUCAUCAUUGGUUUGAGAUUAUCCCUCUACAUCAUGUCAUCUUGCUUAAGGUGUUACUCUGUCCGUCAUGAACUCAAUACACUAGAUGCAUGAUGGAUAGCGGUCGAUGUGUGGAGUAAUAGUAGUAGAUGCAGAAAGUAUCGGUCUACUUGUCUCGGACGUGAUGCCUAUAUGUAUGAUCAUUGCCUUAGAUAUCGUCAUGUCUUUGCGCGGUUCUAUCAAUUGCUCGACAGUAAUUUGUUCACCCACCGUGAUAUUUGCUAUUUUGAGAGAAGCCUCUAGUGAACACUAUGGCCCCCGGGUCUACUCCACACCAUAUUUUCAGCCUUACACUUUUUACUUUGUUGCACUUUCCGCCUUCAGAUCUCACUUUGCAAACAAUCUUGAAGGGAUUGACAACCCCUUUGAAGCGUUGGGUGCAAGCUUGUUUGUGUUUCCGUAGGUACUCUGGACUUGACGAGACCCUCCUUCUGGAUCGAUACCAUGGUUCUCAAACUAAGGGAAAUACUUACUGCUCCUGUGCUGCAUCACCCUUUCCUCUUCAAGGGAAAAACCAACGCAAGACGAGUCUCCGUCAACGUGUCAAUUUCUCGCAUUGUUGUUUGAGAAGUAGAAGAAGGAUUUCUGGCACCGUUGCCGGGGAGGAAGAUCAAGUCAAGAACUCAUCCAAGUAGGUGUCGCAAACUCAUCUCUUGCAUUUACUUUGUUUGACAGUUGCCUCUCGUUUUCCUCUCCCCCACUUCACCAAUUUGCCUUUUUCGUUUGCCUUUUUCGUUCGCCCUAUUUCUCGCCUGCUCUUUGUUUGCUCGUGUGCUUGCUUGCUUGCCAAAGUCACCAUGAAUGAAAACCCCAAAAUUUGUGACUUCUCGAAUACUAAUAAUAAUGAUUUUAUUAGUACUCCGAUUGCUCCCGCCACUAGUGCGGAGUCAUAUGAAAUCAAUGCUGCUUUGCUGAAUCUUGUUAUGAAAGAGCAAUUUUCCGGCCUUCCUAGUGAAGAUGUCGCAUCCCAUUUCAAUACCUUCAUUGAACUUUGCGAUAUGCAAAAGAAGAAAGAUGUGGAUAAUGGCGUUAUUAAAUUGAAGCUUUUUUCCUUUCUCGUUGCGUGAUCGCGCGAAAACAUGGUUUUCUUCUUUGCCCAAAUAUACUAUCGAUUCUUGGGAUAAGUGCAAAGAUGCUUACAUAUCCAAGUAUUUUCCGCCGGCUAAGAUCAUCUCUGUCCAUAAUGAUAUCACGAAUUUCAAGCAACUUGAUCAUGAACAUGUUGCACAAGCUUGGGAGAGAAUGAAAUUAAUGAUUAGAAAUUGUCCCGCUCAUGGCUUGAGUCUUUGGAUGAUUAUACAAAUCUUUUGCGCUGGCUUGAAUUUAGCUUCUAGAAAUAUCUUGGACUCCGCCUCAGGUGGAACGUUCAUGGAAAUCACGUUAGGAGAAGUGAUGUGAGCUAUGCUUCCCUGGCAACGACGCCAAGAAUAGUCGUGUCGACGGCACCAGGAAUCCUUCUGCUAUGGCUACGCCUUAAGGGACUUCCUACGCAAAUAUGCAAAGGAUUUACCCCGUGGCAUUGGAGCCUUGCGUUGGUGUUCCCUCGAAGCGGAAAGGGUGAUGUAGCACAGCGGUGGCAAGUAUUUCCCUCAAUUUGAGAACCAAGGUAUCAAUCCACUACAGGAGUGUCACAAGAUCCUGCACAAACACAAAAGCUUGCUCCCAACGCUAUGAAGGGGUUGUCAAUCGCUUAUAGAUUGUUCGCCAAGUGAGAACUUAAAGCAACAAAGUAAAAAAGCAAAGUAAAAGCGGAGGUGUAAAUGAUGGAUGUGAAUAGACCCGGGGGCCGUAGUGUUUACUAGUGGCUUCUCUCAUGAAAGCAAGUAGACGGUGGGUGAACAAAUUACUGUCGAGCAAUUGAUAGAACCACGCAAAGUCGCGAGGAUAUCUAUAGGCAUCACAUCCAAAACAAGUAGACCGAUACUUUCUGCAUCUACUACUAUUACUCCACACGUCGACCGCUAUCUAGUAUGCCUCUAGUGUAUUAAGUCCAAAAGAACAGAGUAACGCCUUAAGCAAGAUGACAUUAUGUAGAUGGACAAUCUCAUAUCAACGACAGAGCCCAUCUUGUUACCCUUGAUGGCAACUACUUAAUGUGUGCCUUGCUUCCCCUACUGUUACUGGGAAAGGUCACCACAUCGUAGAACCCAAAACCAAGCACUUCUCCCAUUGCAAGAAUCAUAGAUCUAGUUGGCCAAACAAAACCCAAGACUCGGAGAGACUUACAAGGAUAUCAAAUCAUGCAUAUAAGAAAUCAGCAAAGACUCAAAUAUAUAUCAUAGAUAAUCUGAUCACAAAUCCACAAUUCAUCGGAUCUCGACAAACACACCGCAAAAGAAGAUUACAUCGGAUAGAUCUCCAUGAAGAUCAUGGAGCCCUCAUCAUAGAUUCAUAAGGCAAUCUUAUUUUCUUUCUAGGAAAAUGCUCCAUGCCCUUCUUUAGGGGAAAUUGAAAUCUAAUAUUCCCUUCCUUCAUAUCGAUGAUAGCACCAAUAGUCCUUAGGAAAGGUCUACCAAGAAUAAUGGGACAUGAAGGAUUGCAAUCUAUGUCAAGUACAAUGAAAUCCACGGGUACAUAGUUCUUAUUUGCAACGAUAAGAACAUCAUCGAUCCUUCCCAUGGGUUUCUUGACAGUAGAAUCCGCAUGAUGCAAAUUAAGAGAACACUCUUCAAUCUCAUGAAAACCAAGAAUAUCACAUAAAGACUUUGGAAUCGCGGAAACACCAGCACCCAAAUCACACAAAGCAUUGCAUUCGUAGUUUUUGAUUUUGAUUUUGAUAGUAAGUUCCCACUCAUCAUGAAGUUUUCUUGGUAUAGAGACUUCUAGUUCGAGCUUCUCUUCAAGAGAUUUCAUCAUAGCAUCUACGAUAUGUGCGGUAAAGGCUUUGCUUUGGCUAUAAGCAUGUGGAGAGUUUGCAAUGGAUUGCAUCAAAGAAAUGCAUUCAAACAAGGAGCAACUAUCAUAAUUGAAUUCCUUGAAAUCCAAAGUGGGAGUUUCAUUACUACCAAAAUUUUGAUUUCUUCUACUCCACUCUCCACACCUUUAUCAUCAAGAUAGGUGGACUCUGAAUCAUUGGGGCGUUUUUCAAUCAAAGUGGAUUCAUAUCCAGCCCCUUCAUCAAUAGGACUGACACGCGAAAACAAAGAUUCAAGAGGAGUCACACCAAGCACUUUAAGAUCUUCGUGAUUUGCAUCACUAGAAUGCACCCUUUUAAACCAUUCAUGCCUAGCGCGAAUUUGGGUGGUUCUUUCUUUGCUCUCAUUCAUGGAGACACGCAUAGCUUUUAAUGUUUCCUCCAAGUUGACAUUGGGAGGAGCACAUCUAACUUUCAAAGCAUCAAUAUCACAAGACAUCCUAUCAACGCUCUUAGCCAAAUCGUCUAUUUUGAGUAGUUUUUCCUCUAUGGACGCAUUGAAAAUCUUUUGAGAAUUGAUGAACUCUUUGAUAUUACUCUCUAAAUCAGAGGGUAAUUUGUUGUGAUUUCCAUAAGUGUUGUUGUAGGAAUUGCCAUAAUUGUUAGAGGAGUUACUAGGAAAAGGCCUAGGAACAUAGUUUCCUCUAAAAGCAUUGUUGUUGCCAAAAUUGUUCCUACCAACAAAAUUAACGUCCAAACUAGCGUUGCUACUCUCAAUCAAGGAAAAUAGUGGCAUGUCAUUAGGAUCUAAAGGAGCAUUUCUACUAGCAACCAAAUUCAUCAACUCGUCCAUCUUAGCACUAAGCGAGUUAAUUUCUUCUAUAGCGUGUACCUUUUUGCUAGCACGUGACCUUUCAGUGUGCCACUGAGAGUAGUUGGUCAUGAUAUUGUCUAGGAGUUUUGUAGAGUCUCCUAACGUGAUUUCCAUGAACGUUCUACCUGAGGCGGAGUCCAAGAUAUUGCGAGAAGCAAAAUUCAAACCAGCGUAAAAGACUUGUAUAAUCAUCCACAAACUCAAGCCAUGAGCGGGACAAUUUCUAAUCAUUAANNNNNNNNNNNNNNNNNNNNNNNNNNNNNNNNNNNNNNNNNNNNNNNNNNNNNNNNNNNNNNNNNNNNNNNNNNNNNNNNNNNNNNNNNNNNNNNNNNNNNNNNNNNNNNNNNNNNNNNNNNNNNNNNNNNNAAUUUCUAAUCAUUAACUUCAUCCUCUCCCAAGAUUGUGCAACGUGUUCAUGAUCAAGUUGCUUGAAAUUCAUGAUAUCAUUACGUAGGGAGAUAAUCUUAGCCGGAGGAAAAUACUUGGAUAUGUAAGCAUCUUUUCACUUAUCCCAAGAAUCGAUACUAUUUUUAGGCAAAGAAGAAAACCAAGUUUUUGCACGAUCUCGCAACGAGAAAGGAAAAAAGCUUCAACUUAAUCACGUCAUUAUCCACAUCUCUUUUCUUUUGCAUAUCGCAAAGUUCAAUGAAGGUAUUGAGAUGGGAUGCGGCAUCUUCACUAGGAAGGCAGCGUUGAUUUCAUACGAUUCCACACUAGUGGCGGGAGCAAUCGGAGUACUAAUAAAAUCAUUAUUAUUGGUACUCGAGAAGUCGCAAAGUUUGGUGUUUUCAGCCAUGAUGACUUCAACAAACCAACAAGAACACAAGCAAGCAAGAAAACUGGCAAAGGAAAACGGCAAAAGGCAAAAUAAAACGGCAAAGGAGAAAGGCAAAUGAAAACGACAAAUGUGAAGUGGGGGAGAGGAAAAGGAGAGGCAACUGGCAAAAAAGGUAAAUGCAAGAGAUGAGUUUGUGAUACCUACUUGGAUAGAUCUUGACUUGAUCUCUCCUUCCCCGGCAACGGUGCUAGAAAUACUUCUGCUACUGCAAUAAAAGACCUUCCAAUGGUUCCAGAAAUAAGCGUGUUGACGGGAGACUAUUCUUGUCUUGAUACUCCUCAGCAACGGCGCCAAGAAUCCUUCUGCUAUGGAAACACCUUUAGGGACUUCCUUGUCAAAUAUGCAAAGGAUUCCCCCGCGGCCUUGGAGCCUUGCAUUGGUAUUCCCUCGAAGCGGAAAGGGUGAUGUAGCACAGCGGUGGUAAGUAUUUCCCUUAGUUUUGAGAACCAAGGUAUCGAUCGAGAGGGAGGAUCGCGUCAAGUAACAAGUACCUGCACAAACACAAAGAGCUUGCACCCAAUGCUAUUAAGGGGUUGUCAAUCCCUUAUAGAUUGUUUGCAAAGUGGGAACUGAAAGCAAAAAGUAAACAAAGCAAAGUAAAAGCGAAAGUGGAAACGAUAGUUGUGAAUAGACCCGGGGGCCGUAGUGUUCACUAGUGGCUUGUCUCACGAAAGCAAGUAGACGGUGGGUGAACGAAUUACUGUCGAGCAAUUGAUAGAACCGCGCAAAGUCGUGACAUCAUCUAUGGCAAUGAUUAUAUCUAUAUGCAUCACGUCCAAAACAAGUAGACCGAUACUUUCUGCAUCUACUACUAUUACUCCACACGUCGACCGCUAUCCAGCAUGCAUCUAGUGUAUUAAGUUCAUAAGAACAGAGUAACACCUUAAGCAAGAUGACAUGAUGUAGAUGGACAAUCUCAUAUGUACGAUAAAAGCCCAUCUUGUUACCCUUGAUGGCAACAAAACGACGCGUGCCGUGCUGCCCCUUCUAUCACUGGGAAAGGUCACCACACGGUAUGAACCCAAAACCAAGCACUUCUCCCAUUGCAAGAAUCAUAGAUCUAGUUGGCCAAACAAAACCCAAGACUCGGAGAGACUUACAAGGAUAUCAAAUCAUGCAUAUAAGAAAUCAGCAAAGACUCAAAUAUAUAUCAUAGAUAAUCUGAUCACAAAUCCAUAAUUCAUGGGAUCUCGACAAACACACCGCCAAAGAGGAUUACAUCGGAUAGAUCUCCAUGAAGAUCAUGGAGAACUUUGUAUUGAAGAUCCACGAGAGAGAAGAAGCCAUCUAGCUACUAACUACGGACCUGUAGGUCUGAAGUGGACUACUCAUGAGUCAUUGGAGAGGCGAUGAUAUUGAUGUAGAAGCCCUCCAACUCCAAAGUCCCCUCCGGCAGGGCACCGGGAAGGGUCUUCAGAUGAGAUCUCGCGGAAACGGAAGCUUGCGGCAGCGGAAAAGUGUUUUCGUGGAUGCCCUGAUUUUUUCUGGAUUUUAGGGAAUAUAUAGGCGAAAGAGCUAGGGCAGGGGGCGCCAGGGAGGCCACAAGCCUGGUAGCCGCCGGCCCCCCUGGUGGCGGCUACAGGGCUUGUGGGCCCCCUGUGGCUCUCCUGCCUUGGCCCUCAACUCCCCCGAUCUUCUUCUGUUCUGGAAAAAAAUAUUUCGGGGAUUUUAUUCCGUUUGGACUCCGUUCCAAAAUCAGAUCUGAAAAGAGUCAAAAACACAGAAAAAACAGGAACUAGCACUUGGCACUGAAUUAAUAAGUUAGUCCCAAAAAAUAUAUAAAAGGUACAUAAAACAUCGAAAGUUGACAAGAUAACAGCAUGAAACCAUCAAAAAUUACAGAUACGUUUGAGAUGUAUCACCCACAGCCUAAGACUAAGAGAUACGAUAAGAAUGACUUCGCUGCUAGGAAGCAUGGUAAAGAAAGGGAACCAUGGGUUCAUAAACUUAUGCCCUUUCCUCCUAAACCAUCCAAGAAAAAGGAUGAUGAAGAUUUUGAGCGCUUCGUUGAAAUGAUUAGAUGUGUCUUUCUGCAAAUGCAUUUGACGGAUAUGCUCAAGAUGUCUCCGUAUGCUAAGUACAUGAAAGAUAUUGUGACUAAUAAGAGAAGGAUACCUGAGAUUGAGAUUUCCGCCAUGCUUGCUAACUACACUUUCAAGGGCGGAACUCCUAAGAAACUAGGUGAUCCCGGUGUGCCCACUAUACCUUGCUCCAUUAAAGGCAACUACGUUAGAACUGCUUUAUGCGACCUUGGAGCCGGUGUUAGUGUUAUGCCUCUCUCUCUUUAUCAUAGACUUGAACUGGAUAAGUUGACACCCACUGAAAUCUCUCUGCAAAUGGCUGACAAAUCAACUGCUUUCCCUAUCGGCAUUUGCGAGGAUGUGUCUGUUGUGGUUGCUAACACCACUAUCUUAACAGACUUUGUUAUCUUGGAUAUUCCCGAGGAUGAUGCCAUGGCUGUCAUCCUCAGAAGACCCUUUUUAAACACCGCAGGGGCUGUUAUAGAUUGCAACAAAGGCAAUGUCACUUUCCAUUUCAACGGUAAUGAGCAUAUGGUGCACUUUCUGAAGAAACAAUAUCGAGUACAUUGCAUCAAUGCUAUCGGAAAAACUUCAUCGAUUCUUAUUGGGAGCUUUGAAUGCCCUAUUCCUUGUGUCAAGAUGAAGUAUGAUUUGCUUGUUGGGGAGGUUCACAUCCCCAUUGAGGUGACCUAGUGACUAUUCGGAAAUUCUCCGUUCUCUUUUGCGAUUCAAAAAGUUUUGUCGAGGGGAUUUGAUCAACCUCAUUGACGGAUUUCUUUCGAUGACCAUGAGAUGGAUGAAUCAAGGAGUCACAAACCUCUGUUCCAAGCUUUCACUUUAGGUUGCUUAGAAUAAAAAUGAUAGAUUUAGUUUAGUUUUCCCUGUUUUCUGUUUUAGCGUCCGAUAGAAAGGUACCCUGAAAAUAAAAGUUCUCCGAACGUCCUGAAAAUCAAGUAUGAUUUUUUCUGGAAUUUUUGAAAAAUUCUGAGACAAAGAGCUUGUCUGGGGGCUGCACCAGUGGGCCACAAGCCCUUGGG